RNAcentral lists this long non-coding RNA (80262 nucleotides) under Physcomitrium patens. Its description in RNAcentral is "long non-coding RNA (PPAT_LNC001738)". The record is from RNAcentral. Lineage: Eukaryota; Viridiplantae; Streptophyta; Bryopsida; Funariales; Funariaceae.
AACAAAUCCUAAUGAAAUCUUAAAUCAAUUUCAAUCAAACUUUAAUAAAAUCCUAAAUAUUAAUCAAACUUUAAUCAAACCUUAAAUAAAUAUUAAUUACAUCCUAAAUCCUAACCUUAGACCAAAUUCUAUUGAAAUUCUAAAUUCUAAUUAAAUCCUAAUUAAAUCCUAAUCAAAUCCUAAACUCCAAUCUUAGACUAAAUCAUAUUUAAAUCCUAAAUAAAUACUAAAUCUUAAUUUUAUAUUAAACCCUAAUAAAAUCCUAAAUCAUAAUCAAAUCUUAAUGAAAUCCUUAUCAAAUCCUAGUCAAACUCUAAUCAAAUUCUAAAUCCUAAUCCUAGAUCAAAUCCUAAAUAACUCUAAAAAUAAUUCAAGUAAAAUUCAAUUAAUUACUAUAGCUAUUUGAAACCUCAAUAAAUAUUAAUUGAAAUCUAAAUCUUAAUUAAAAUUUCACCUAAACUUCAAUCAAUAAGCAAAUGAUAAGCUUCCAAAACCUCUCGGUCAUUGGCUUCUUUCCUUCUCUGAUUUGAAUGUUAAUUUUUCAACAUCAAUUUUUCCUUGCUGAAUUGUUCAAUCACUCCAAAAAUUGAGUUGUGGGUAGAUAAUUGCUCUCACUAAUUUUUUCUUCAAUCCAACUAGCAAAUACUGCUAGAUCUUAGAAUCAUUCACUGACUAUAAAUCUCAAAUUUUGAAGACCAUAACAUACAAAAAUCUUCAUGUGCUUCAAUCUAACUACUUGAUUGACCUCAAAUUUCUUCCACACAUUUACAACAAGCACAACAACAAACCAUCCAAUUUUCAUUUAUUCACAUACUACAAAACUCAAGAAAUCCUCAAAUUUAUAAAUAUAUUUUUAUUUCUCAAAAUCUAAAUCCACCAAGUACAUUACUAACUUUGGAAAUUCUUCAAAAUCUCAAUAUUGAUCCAAAUGACAUGAAACCAAGACUUAAAAUUCUUUCCUUAAGUCUGCUUUCACAUUCUACAAUUGGAUAUGCAAAAAAACCCUAAAGUCGCCAUAGGUGCUUACUUUUGUGCCUCAGGGUCUGAUUUUGAUCCUUGUUGGCAACCAGUCCACUCCGGAUAUUAAUUCUUGUCUUCUUGAUGUAAUUUUUGCUAAAAUCAACUCCUAACUCUCUUCUACAUAUGCCUAUUUGCUUUAUUUUUCUAAUAUAUCUUAUUUUUCUUUAUUUAUGACUCUACAAAGUAAAUAGAAUCUAUUUUCAUAAAAGGUAGUUCUAACACUAAUAGAUUUUACUAUAUGCCUAUUAUUUGUCUAUAUUUUUUUACUAUAUAUUUUUAAUUAGGCUCUUCUAUAAUAAAAUAAUUAUUUUCUUCUUUCGCCUAAUGGUUGUGUUAUUAUAUAACAUCAUUUGGCUUGAAGAAGAAUUUGACGCUUGUAUGAUUAGAUGGUGUAGUUGAUGAUGCCUUACAACUUUGAGUUCUCCAAAAUGUCUCCUCUAAACAAGACCAACUCUAUUAUAAGAGAUAAAGGGAGAAGAUUGAAUAAUUGAAGAAAGUAGAUUACUAAACAAGAGAGUAACAAAGUGAAAGAGCAAAAGGAAGGUAAAAAGAAUCAAAGUUUGUUCUAAUACUAUGUUGCAAUCAAAUGAUUGCAUCAUGCUUCAAAGAUCAAAAAGGUUAAGUUUUACUUAAUCAAAAGAAGUAUAAUACACCAAGAAUCAAAUCUACUUAUACAUACUAUAUAGUCUAAGUAUAGGUAUGCAAUUGAAUGAGUCAAUUAAUACUUUAUUGACAUAUCAACAAAUAAUGAAAGGAAUAGGACAAGAGAUGAAUUUCAUCACAAAUUAUACAAAUUCAACCUCACACCUCAAACUAUUGUGAAAAGUUGGAAUCCAACUCCAUUUCCAAAACCUCUCAACAGCAACAAAAUUUUGAAUAUCCAAAAGGAAGUAGCUCCAAAGAAUAAAAAAUUAUUAGCACACAACUCUUGAUGUCACCAAGCUUUUAAUAAUCCCAUCUCACAAAACUUCUUGCAUCUUCAUAAUAAUUCCUACGUCCUAAUACACAAUGGGGAAUCAAAUUCCUUGCAUUGAAUUGAAUUGUGCAAGUUUCAGAAAAGAACUCAAGGAUGGAUCAUUCAUUUAACAUAUUGGCAUUCAAAAGUUAAUCUUUUGUUCAACACAUCAAACAAUAUGUUGAUAAUUGAAACAUUCAAAAAAUAAUGCAUUCAAAGGGAGAGGAGAGGAAAAAGACCGGGAAAAAAGAUCCGUGAGAAAUCAACCUUGUUUCCAGGGCUUUCGUCGGCACAUCACCCAGCACAGCAAGAUCUUCAAAUUGCUUUCACAACUCAAUUGCUUUGCCAUCAACAGAGACACAAUCUGCAUCCUUGUUUUGGUUCGAUGCCUCAAAGGUCAGGGAAACCACAAACACACACACACACACACACCCAGCAGAUGCACUGAGCCAGAAAAAAAAUGACUUCAACGUCAAAGCUCUCGCCACAAGCAGCGACUGCAAAAGACAACUGCAGGGACCCACAAGCGCAAAACAGAAGAAGAGGAGGAGGAGGUACAAGCCUGCCAAUGCGGCUAAUAAAUCAAGGUGUUUAUACAAUCACUGUGGAGGGAUGUAUUCCCAUGGCCCUACCACAUGACUAGGAGGCCCUCGCCGAGCAAUUUGAGUGACCAGAAGUGUAGCUGUAUCCCAUGUGGGCAAAUGACUGUUUACUUUGCUUCUAAGUUUCGGAUCCUAAUCCUAUUCAACAGAAUGUUUUUGGAGACAUACCUGCACUCCAAGUCAGCGUUCUUCAGCUCACAAUGAACAGAGGGUAGCAACUCUUACUUCGUCCCUUGCAAUUCCUUGGAGCUAUAUUUAUAGCUGAGUAUGAUGGUUAUAGCUGUACUAAGUUGGCUUUGCGGAGAGGUAUGUUUGCUUCCAAAGGUGUCGUCAGAGUCCAACGAGCAGGAUACGGGAAUCCUUUGGGUGCCUCCAGUUGAAGGUGCCACACCAUAAUUUUGAGGCACCCAGGUGGUCGUCCUUCCAUGUAGCUUUCAUCUGGGACGAGCUGCUCAAUAAACGAGGUUUGCUGCACAAAGAGAAAGCCGACGAGGAUUCAGAAUUAGUGAGAAUGCGUGGACAAUAAUUAUGAGUUGAUCUACACAAUCAUUGCGAAUUGAUAUGUGUGUAACCAGUACCGACCUGAGAGCUUUCCUUGAUACUGUCCAGCUGCCGGAUGGGCUCCAACGUGGGACGCUUCCACCGACGUGGAUCCCAUAACAUAGUUGAGUUGAAAGCAAAUCCAGACAUGUCCACAUGAAACCGUCUCAGCCUCUUGCUCCUGUCACUUGUAUGCCAUCCUAUAACCUUCUCACCUUCACAAACGGGACCCUCAAAGACGACCCGGGACUUGCCCGGCGCCAGUAUUCCCACCAACCAAGUGCCAAAGCGCCUGUACAAACAACACUCACAUCAUAAGCGUUGAAGACAUCCUUGCCACACCAUAACGAAGAUGCGGCAGACACUAGUGAUAAAUAAGUACACACCCUAAGGUGGCUUCGAGAAUAGGUUAUAGCAGUAGCUCAAAAACCUUCAAGUAAUUUGGCUGUUAAUAUUCAGAAAAAAUCACAGAAGGGUGAAAGACGGAAGGCUUCGCACGUGAUGUUCCUCAUCUGCUCAAAAAGCUCCAAAGUAUACAUGUUGCCAUCGUCGGCAAAGUAGACGAUGCCGUCAAGCUCGUGGUGUUCAAUGUGGGCCAAGGCAGUGUUGCGCUGGGACGCCGCACGAUCCUUCACAUUCGUAAGGUUUUUGUCACACACAAGGUGGCGGUACAUGAUCCCAGUCUCGCGUAACAGCUGAGCUGUCUCUAGCGACUGAUAGUGCAUUUCGACCACCAGCCACAAUAAAGGCGGUGGGACAAGCUUUAAGGUGUGUGCUAGCCGUGUCAAGUAGUACGCUCCGAACGGCCGGACGUAUGUUGGAGUUACAAUAAUUAGCAACUUUCUGUACUCCAGAGGCAUCUCAAAAUUAACUCCCACACCUGACAAUAAUUCGAAGAAUUCACCGCCAUCAAAACAGAAUAGUCAUCUUAGAUCUAAAGCCGAAGAUAAACGAUUCGCUGGAUUAUUCCUAAUUUCCAGACAAUUGCACAAUCGCUCCCACCAUUCCUCAUGUGGGUGAUUGGAUGUGGGGCAGUUACACUUACAAAGAUUCUCUACUCUUUCUAAGGAUAGCGUUGCACCAAAAGGUCACCUGAAAAAUUGUUCUUAGCCGCAUCGAAGCUGAUCAUGUCUCUCCCCUUCGUCGCUGUCUUCGCAUCCAUCAAUGCAUUCGUAGCCACAAAUCUUCCAGAUAGAUCUACAUCUGUGGUCUUGGCAUCACCAAAAAAGGGUCUUCCAUCAACAGCCAAAGAAUGUUGCAUCCACUUGUGAGGAGUAAACCACCCCAAACAUAAGCCUAUAGUGAAACAUACCCCGAACUGGACAAGCAACUUCUUCCAGCUGCUCAUCUUUGCCGCACCUUUCUGGCUACCCUCUGCUGGUCCGACUAAUCUCAUGUGCAGGUAACAGGGAAGAAGCAGCAGAGCCUGAGCUAGAGACAAUGCCGCAGUUGCCAAGAGUGCUAAGAGUGGAUGGGUAUGCUGCUGCUGCGAGGGAGCUGUCUUACCAGCAAUAGCCGCUCUGGGAUCACGGAUUUUCUGUAACAACGUCUUCCUCAAAGAAGCCAUGACCAUCACGAAAUCAACCCCUCCAUGCCCUUGUGACAAACUUCACAACCUGUACAGAUUUUACUGAAACCCUAAGUCUCACACGUCCCCUUCUUACCCUUAAUCUCUUCAUUUGAAGCACCUAGAGCUGCACCCUUCCAUCUCCCUCUCCUUUCUCAAACCACUCCAUACCAUGAUCUCUGCAUCUCUGUCGAUCCUGGAAACUAAACAGCGAACUCAACUCCGACACUCCUCCCUGAGUCUCGACCACGUCCAAUCUCUUUCUCUGUCGAUACCCUCACUCUGACAAGAGCCUUUUGUAAAAAAUUGCCCAUCAUUCUAACCACUCAUACUGCCCUAAUUGAGCUUGCAAGGAAUCCCGGUGGCUUGAUUCAGCAUCACAAUUAGGCAUGAAAACUUCGCUCCUGGGCAGCUCCGUGUCAGUGGCGACCACGUCACAAGCGCAACCAAUGAGUCCCAAUCCAAAGCAAACACCACACGAAGCUGUCUAACUCUUCCCUGACGAAACUGCCACCACCAGCGAAACACACGCUCUCCGCCGCGUAAGAGAUGGCUAAGUCCAAUUUCAUCACUGGAGGACAUGCAAGGUGUUAAUCACGUUGACCAAAGCAAGAGGAUAACAACUUCGCCCAGGAAAGAGCCUCCUCCUCCCUCUCGCACUUCAAUCCUUCACUUGAGGGGGUAGCGACACGGCAGCUCCCUAUUCUGCUGCCCCGGCCAGCUUGCAGUCACUGAAUCUGUGCUGUCUCGCUAUCACACCCACUACUCGGCUCGGACAUCGCAAGGUGUGCAAAACUGGUCAAGAUGCCAGCAAUUGCCGGAAUAAACUAAAUUUGUUUCACCCUCUUCCAAUUCUUUUUCGUUCCUUUGUCCGUUGUCAAGCUAGACUGUUUGGUGGUCAACGAUCCGGACGAAAGCUCCUCAGCAGCUCCGUCCCGGUGGGGACUUCGUUCUUCCUGCCAAAGAUAGAAUUUUCCACGUGGAGUAUCUUUCUGUUGCACCAAACUAGAAUUCUCUGCCUCGCUACAGACGAAGAAUUUUCACGCUGGUACCGACAAAAGGGUUGGGUAAGUUCAGGGGUGGGGUCGAACGUCUGCGUCGCGCAUUCGUAGGCUCCAGGUUCCAGCCAAGCGGGCACAAGGAGGAGGUCGCUUCAUCACAUCGUCCCUGCAGUCUUACGUUUUCGUUGCUGUCACCACCCAUCUGCACGCUACAGCAAUGUACCUGGCGAUGGCUAUGGCUAUGGCGCAACUGACAGCAGUUGUGCCCUCCUUCAUAGCUCGUCCGUCUUCUAUCUCUGCUCCUGCUGAUGCUGCUUCGCCGUUUCGUCUCCAAUUCUGAUAUUCCCUCCGACGGCUUCCUAUUUGCUCCGCCCAAACGCAUGGUAAGUGUCGGAAUGCAGCUCACCUUCCGUGUGUUUUGUACGGAAUAUGUGAUUAUCUACGCAUUGUUAUUGAUUUUGUUGUUAAAGGAAAUAUCCAGUUGCAUCGUACAACUUAAGGUGACUCAGCGUGUUGCAGCGGGUGAAGAUAAGCGUCCAUUUCAGUUUGAAACAUUCAUCAUCUUACGAGGAGGAGGUGUUCUUGAACAACUUCUUCAGUUGUUGAUGGUUCUCACUCAUUCUAGAUUCUCAGAUACAAUGUGAUGAAGUCUGGAAGUCGAUGAAGCUUUUGCGGCCUGUCUUGGCAUGCUUCCUUCAACUUUUUGCACAGAAAUGGUUGCAACAAGGACUCUAAUUACGUUUCACAUCGGGGGAACGUCACUCACCAUUCCCUUCUUGCAGGAUGCAGCGAAGGGUCUUAACGCUGCCAUAGCUGGUCUCAUGACCACAUUUAGGGAGAAAGAAAAGGCUGAGAGGCUGAGGCGGUGGGAGAACAUGGAGUACCGCCACACAGAGGAUGGCGUCUUCUUCGAGGUUUUCUGCAACCCUAAUGCUCAUGCCACAGCAUUCCACGCAAAAUACUUGGUCACUAUCAACGGCGAGAAGUUGCGAAUCACCUCCGAAAGUCAACUUAGCGCUCUAAAAUCCGACUAAGACCAAUAUAUUGACCAACAAAACUAAUCACGACUCUUUGAAGUUUGUUUCGACAAUAAUGUAGAAUUUAGCCAGGGUUCCUGGUGAUAGGUAGAAUGUCAGCAAAUAAAUAUAUCGAUUCUCUGGAGCAAGACAAUUGCGACCUACUGCAGCAAUUUUUCUUUACCCCACGUCUGAUGUGAUGCCUUGACUAAAGAAAAGCAUGAGAUUUGCUGGAACGUCACUCGUUCAAGCCUGGAUUUCGAAACUGCAUGGACUGCAUGGACUGGUUCUGUCUAUACGUAACGAGGAUUAGCUUAAGAUUUUAUUCCCGCAUGGCAUUCACACAAUUGUGGACUUUUAAUACGACAAACGCGAGACCUAAAGACUACAGCCCGUCAAGCAAGGGAAGAUACAGUGUGAGCUUCAGCAAGCUGAUCCAAUCGGAAAAAAAAUUCGAAUCUUUUGUACUCUGUGGCCUCAUUACCGUUGUCCAUGCCCAUACUUGGACGUAAGAAUAUGGUUCGACAUGUAAGAUAACCUCUCCAAGUUUCAGGACAAAACACUACGAUUGAUCAGGCUUAAUGGAAAUUUCAUACACCCAACCCUCAUGUGCACCCCCUGCCAGCGAUUUCCGGGUUCCUGGAGCCUCGCAAAUAUCCAUCUUCAAUCUUUGAACUUCCGCAUUAACUGCUAUAUCGUUACUGCACAGAGAAACCAAGGAAAAUUGUUGGAGACGUCGAGACACAAUCGAACGGAGAUGGAAACGAAGAACCUUUAGGCACUUUACGUGCUACGCGGCACAAGGCUACAUUAUUUUAAUGCAUUUGUUCGUAUCUACCGCUUCUAACUUGAUUAAGGGAUAACGUUAGAAGUGGUUGAUGACAAACCUUUUGAACCGGGAAACAUAACCCAGAAUAAACUUGCAGGACCCUACAGGGCGAAGCUCCAUGAGGGCUUUCACGGUCGCAAAGAGAGGUUUUACAGCGCUUUGGUGAUAGCGUGGAACCAGUUGGUUAAGAAAACUUGCUCAAACCACAAACCCAGUUUAACUCAUUUAUUCUGAAAUCAAUGCAGCUAGAACAUGUGAAACAAACGUUGUGCAACCCACUUGGAAAACUACGCCCAGCAUAGGCUGAAUCUGAUUGAAGAAUUUCACGAAAAAGGAUAUAGAUGUCUGCACCCAAAAUGAGGUCGAAACCAUCAGGGUAAGUCUCCUUGAUGUGUCCUACGUGGACUUCGUUGCCCCAGUCAAGCUCCUCACAAUCCACCUCUACGACAGGAAGGAAAUUUCAUCAGAAGGCAUAUCGAGGAAUGGCAAAGAUUUCCGAGUCUGAAUCAUUCAGAAUACAUUGACUAGAAACAGUUGACUCUGUAAGCCACAACUCAUGAGCGAUUCCGCUAGGUUAGAACAACAAAGUACAAUCACGCGGAUCCAUGUAGCUGCACAAUUGCCCUCAAUUACUGAAAGAACGCUAUACGGGAUUAUUUGAAGAAGCUAGGAACAAUGGACAGGAUUCUUACUUGAUUGCAAAGUAUCACCCUGCAACUCCACAUUCUUUUUCAUUACCUGCAUAAAGAGAAAUUUCUUUCUCAAAUUCAAUUCAAAGACGUGACUUUCAUUGCAUAGAAACAGAGAAGAAAGGUCGAAUAAGAAAGACAUCAAAUUCCCAUUUUGCAAAGAAGAAUCAAAACGACAUAUGAGGCGAGGAAUGACUUAAUCUGUGCACUUAAAAACAUUCACGACCAAUUUACGGAUGACGAAUCCAAAACAAGAUAAUAGGUUUAAGGAUUAAGACUAAGAGCAUGCGCAGAGUGGCAUGCCUUUAAUACGGUGGUGUUGUGAUCAGUCAUGACUACAUGACGACUGUACCGGGCACACAGCAAACCAUUGAGACCUACAAUCACCUCCCAGAUGUUAAUUCCCAAUACAUUAUAAACCAGUAGAAAUACAUUCCACACAAUGGCGGAAUUUUCGUCUUCUGCAUGACGGUCAUAUCCAGCCUCAUGACGAAAGUUGUCAAUUCAGAAAGCUCUUAAGAGUAUAGUAUUCAUGAACCACCCUCUGUAGAACAAACCUUUGACGCUGUGAUCUUCAACACCAACAUCCACUAAAAGAUCACCACACUCGUGUACAGUCAUAAGUAGUCUUCCAACACCUGUGAGAGGGGUGCUUCAAACGGCAUCUAAUAAACCGCUUACAAAAACGGCGUGCAGCAUUGAAACAUAAAGGUCCGGGAUAGUGUGGUUGUCCUGACAGCAUUCAAUUGAACUCAAUAGUAUAACGUAGCACUUGACCUAAGAUUACGAUUACUUGAAACAAAGAGUAGAGGUAGUACAAGAAUGCUCUCUUAAAAUAACAAAGGGGCUCUAACCAUCCCAAGUGCGAAUAAGAGACGGAACUAGGGUGAUGCACUCAUUUCACGCGGAGCACUGAAUUGUUUUACACUUAUCAGAAGCAUAAUAGUUCGAAAGAGACCAAACUUAGUCUUGAACUUCUGCAGAAAGACCACAAUCGGGGAGGCUAUCUUACCAACUCCUGAUCCUAGUUCGAUCACAGAGACACCGUCAAGAACAUUUGAAUGACUGACUAGGUAAUCGUUCAGAAUUCCAGCUCCUGGCCACACCAGCUGCCCUGUGAGAUCAUAAUCAGCUGCAGCCAAAGUCCGAUCCUAGCCGACGUCAGAAAGCCGAACCAGGUCGUUAAAAUAUCACAACAAAAGACUUAAUAGCCAGUUUACUACUUUCAGACGCCACGGGAUGGUGGUGUCAAAACCAACUUCAUCGUCAUUAGAACCUCAUUUCUUAUAAGCAUAUGUUAUAAGAGAGGACACAAGUCAAUUCCGCUACUCCUAAUCCUUCACAUUGCAAAAAGAUAAAAAGAAAAGUGGUAGGAUAUUCUUAACACGAUGGGCAACUGUUCGAUAUUUCUGAAAGGUUCUCCUGAGAUUCUUUAGAGAUCUCUAAUCCAGUUUCGAGAACCUACGUUCAUGCUAAACUACUCAAUGAGUUACAGUUUUGACGAAUAAUUGUUCGGAUUCUAGUGAAGCAAAAACCAAGAGAUCAAAAGCGCACUCACUUGACGAGCACUGAAGGCACAGAACCUUAAUCGUAUGAGCCCCAACAACGAAUUCCUUUUCAACAUAUCUGCAAUCACCAUGAACAACAACCACUCUCUCACUUCAACGACUUCUCCAUUCCAUGAUCAGUCGAAACAUGCAACAAAUGCUGAUUCAGAAAGACGAAUCGCAAUGCACUUCAGGAUACGUAAAAGCCAAAAAGCGCCGUGACAUGUCUACGUGUCACCCUAAACCUCAAAUUCAAACCCCUGAAUCAAUUCGGAAUCUAUUCAGAGAACUGCAACGACCCCAACAAUUCAUGUGACAAUCGCGCACUUCCAACUGAAAAAUCAACAAAGCCGAUCACAAACGGGAUAAACCCCACAAACGGUAAGCAUUAAACCAGAAGGUUUAAGGCUCGACUUCCGUCCCCGAAACAGACAAGAGUGUAAGAAGGAAUUUCACAGGUCAGGGAGUGGGUUACGUUUCAUCAACAAAGAAGGAGGCAUCGAAGUAAGGCUCCUCGCUGUCGGAACCGGAAUCGAUCGAUGGGUCCGCGUCGAUGGCUGCCUCGGUUGCCAUUGCUUCGACAAUUCCAGUCCUUCGCUGCAACUCCCCUCCAAGGCCUCGAAGAACAGGGGAACUGCCCCCAGCCGCCGUGAGCCUGGACAGCAUAUUACCCUUUUCACACCGAUACUAGUCAGUACCUCUUCACACUGGCACUUGUCGAGUCAUUUUCACACUAACACUGGUCGAUCCCUUUUCACACUGGCGUUUCUUUCUUUCUUUCUUUUUUAGCAAUUUCAGCAUGGAUCGUGGGGUUGUACACUCUAUGACAUACUGUUCCGUAUAUCCACGUGUUAUCCUUUCACAUGUUAUACGACGAUCUAGUAUUUUUAGAUGAAAAUAAAAAAAAACUAAAGUGAAGGAAAAUUUGGGAAUAGAGUGAAAAGAGAUUGUGUAUGGAUGGGGAGAAAAAAAAAAAAAAAAAAAAAAAAAAAAAAACUUGUUGGUAUGUUGAUAUUUUCAACAGGAAUUUGUGAAGUAGAAUAUUUUCAAAGUUUUGUACUUGUGAUGAGAUUUUUGUGAAGUAAAUCGAAAAGAAUCUUUGGCAGUGUAAAUAGAUGUUUCAAUUAAUACUAAAAACAUUAUUCUACGUUUUAUUAUAAAAUAGUAUGGUAAAUUAAUAUGUUCUUAAACUUAGGAGAUUCAACAUUGUUGAUAUAUAUACGUACAUGGAUGUUUUAAGACCGUAAUUUUCACAUGGGUUUUAAAUUAUAAUUUAUGAUAUGUUAUGAGAAGAAAAAAAUUGUUGAUAAUCGGUUGAGUAUUCAAAUUUUAGGAUUUUAUUUUGUGCAUACCCCUUAUUUUUCAUUGUGUUGUAUGCUUCUAAAUAUAGUUGAACAAAAUAUGUGUUAAAAUAACAUCAGUUACAGAUAACUUCUUAUUUUAAAAACGCUUCUGAAAAGUUCUCAAUUUUUUUUGUCAUUGUGAGAAUAUAUGUAUAUAGCUAACAUAUAUUUUUACAAUAAUUAUUAUUUAUCCAAUGUCUCAAAUAAUCACUUCAGUUUUCUAUACCUUCCAAGUUUGUGACAGUGUAUUGAAAGUGAAAAAGGUCUCAAAAUAAUUCUGUAUCCAAUUCAAAUGUACAAUAGAUUUAGGAACAUAAUCUUAUUCCAUAUGCUUAUUUUUAGAUUGUAUUUUUUAAAAUGUUAGUGGCAUCCAAAUCAUAUUUGUAAAUGACAGUCAAAUUACAUUUGAAAGCACAAACACUAAUAAAUGAUGUAAAUAGUUGAAUUUUUGUUGCACUAAGUGUAACCAUUUGCUACAUAGAUCAAUAUACUAUCGUGAACCAGAUGAAAAAAAAUCACAUUAAAUAAUUGGGCACAUUAGUACUGAAAAAGCACUUACCACAUAUUGUAUUGCACAUGUGUGUUUCUUUAAAAAUAUUUGUUGCAUCUAUGUAUACACACUUGCAUAAAUAUAAUAUUUUUAAAAGAAAAUUUUGCUAGAAGAAAAGAUGUUGUCACAAACACAAUUCUCUAAAUCAAAAGGCUCAAAAUUGAAAGUUUUCCCAAAAUUGAAGGCUCAUGUCCAACCUCAAAAGAAAAAUCUAAUUUAAAAUAGAACCUGAGUUGAUCAAACGUAUCCCGUUCCAUGGCAAUUGAUCAGACUAAAUAUGAUCCAACACUAUAUUUUACAAACUAUUAAACACGUAUUCUGACUUGGUCGCCCCAGACCUAGAAAUACUCUACCGAACCUAAACCACGGUCAACGAAGUCCAGACCUGAGCCUCGGGGUCCGGUUCUGACGAACCUGGGGUUCGGAAACUAGGUUAGGUCGAGGGGCGGAGAGCGAGUGAGCUCAUCGCGAGUCUUGAGCCAUUGCGUCUGCGUCGUCGCGCUCAAUCUCUCCCUCCUCGUCCCUCACCCCAUCGGCAAUCUCCACAUGAUCUCGCCCUUCUAGAGGCACGCCGCGUUGUCUACAAAUCGACGAGUGAGGGGCCGCGGGCCUGGAGGCGGAGCGUAUUUCCCCUUGAUCAGGUAUGCGCACAGAGACCCCGCUUUUCUUCUGACGAAUUUUCAGAGUUACGAGGUGGAGACUGCUCUGUCACGAAGUAGCAGGAUUUGUAUUAGUACUGCUACUUUGCGCCAAGGAUUGAGAUUUGUGGUGGUGGGAGUAUGAGCUUAGAAGCGGCGAUGCUUGUGUUUGAAUUGAGUUGGUUUGUGGGUUGAGUCCAUUCAUGCUGGGUUAGGGUUUGGACCUUGCAUUCGCAGGGUCCUUCUCCCUUUCGUGUUCUUCUCUCUCUCUCUCUCUCUCUCUCUCUCUCUCUCCCCCCCCCCCAGAUUCCUGCUUCCCUUGUUCAGCGGUGUGAAAUCGCUGUCGUGAGAAUUUUUUAUGGGUUUGGGUUUGUGGUUGGUUUCGCGGGGUGGAAUAACACGCUUGGCUGUUUCAGUUCUAUCUUUCGUGGUGAACUCUUAGUUUGCGACAAUUUUGUUGUAGUCGUAGCUGUAGGCAUGGUUUUCAACAGAGAUGAAGUUGGAUUUUAUGAUUUUCUGUUAUGCAAUACAUGGAUGAAGGGAUUCAUUUUUUCAUAUUCGAUAUCGAAGUAACAGAGUGCUUAAUCCAUGCUCCUCUUUGGUUGCUAACGCUAGCAAACAGUUUUUUAAAAACAGGGACCUACAUUGGCACCCAUGUCACCUCAGCAACCGCAAUUACGAGUUCCCGAGGUGGCCGAGAAUCUCGACGGAUGGGGCCCUCCUGAUGAAAAUGCCACCCUGCCAUCCCAGCUUCAGAAUGUCCCCUAUGCACCUUUCAUCAAGAGUACACACCUAGGCCGUGCUUCUGACUGGACUCGCAACCCUCCUAACCGCUUCAAUCAGAACCGUGGCGAUGGUGUCUUUGAUUACUUCUUCGAUGAGCAAGACGAAGAAUCUUUCCGACUCGUAGAUGGGAAACCUCCUGCACGUCCCAAGUUUGGCCCCAGGUGGCGUUUCCAGCAGAAGCCGCAGUUGCCGCAACGGAAGGACGAAGAAGAUGCCAGAAGAAAAGAGGCUGAGAAAGAAAGACUGCGGCGGGAUAAGUUUUACAACCAGAACAGGAACUUACAAAGGAGGGAGACGGCCACUUUCAAAAGUUCUGUUGAUAUCCAACCUGAUUGGACAAUUCUUGAGCAAAUUCCAUUUUCAACUUUUGCCAAGCUCAAUUAUUCUGUUGGAGAGGCAGAGGAUCUUGCGCUCUGUGGAGCCCUUGAGUUUUACGACAAGACGUACGACCGUGUGACACCUAAGAGCGAGAGACGGCUUGAAAGGUUCAAAAACAGAAACUUCUUUAAGGUAUGCAAGCCGUGUAUGACAAUAUCAUUCAAAGCUUCGCGGUCGCACGUAAUGUUGUCAUUAUACUCUUUUCGCUCUGCAUUUUCCGGAUGAAUUGUUGCUAGGACAACUUAAGUAUGGUGAAAGUGUUUCCGACCUGUACAAUUGGAAUUUACUCUGUCCAUUAACUCUGAAGAUGCCUAGGUGAUGUUCUUUUCCUUACGGACGUUGCCUCUGUUGGUUUCAGGUCACCACUACUGAUGAUCCUGUUAUUCGACGCUUAGCAAGUGAAGACAUGGCCACAGUAUUCGCUACAGACUCAAUUCUGUCAACUCUUAUGUGCUCUCCUCGAUCUGUCUACUCUUGGGAUAUUGUGGUGCAAAGAGUGGGCAAUAAGCUUUUCUUCGACAAGCGAGAUGGCUCACAGCUGGAUCUGCUGACUGUGAAUGAGACUGCUCAAGAAUCCCUUCCCGAAGGCAAGGACGAUAUCAAUUCUGCUCAAAACCUGAGCAUGGAAGCUACCGUUAUCAAUCAGAACUUCUCUCAGCAGGUACUUUUCGUUUUUUGGACAUGGGUUGCUAUUUUAGCACACCAUACUAAAUGUCAAUGCAGGUUAUGUAGUGUAAAUGGAUGGCUAGCACCAAUUAUCAACCAACGAUGGCGGCCUGUAAGAACGCUUUUCACACUAAUCAUCCCUGUUGACAGUUAAUUGCUCACGAACAAUUUGUCGUCCUUCUCUAGCUUUACUUAUUAUGCCUUGUGCACAGAUCCUUAUCAAAGAUGGAAACAAGUUCAACUUCCAAGAGCCGAACCCUUUUGCUUCCGAGGGAGAGGAGGUCGCUUCUGUAGCAUACAGGUAUCGUCGAUGGAAACUGGACGAGAACAUCUCUUUGGUUGCAAGAUGUGAGGUCCAAAGUCUGAUGGAAGUGAAGGGUCAGAGAACACUUAUGACCUUGAAUGCUUUGAACGAAUUCGACUCCAAAUUUACUGGUGUCGACUGGCGUCAAAAGCUGGAAACUCAGAAGGGAGCAGUUCUUGCUACCGAGCUGAAGAACAACAACAACAAGGUGGCAAAGUGGACUGCUCAAGCCUUACUUGCAAGCGCAGAAGUCAUGAAGAUUGGUUACGUCUCUCGUCUCCACCCCAGAGAUCCUUACAAUCACGUCAUUUUGGGUGUACAAGGUUACAAGCCAAAAGAAUUUGCUGGGCAGAUCAAUUUGAACUUGAACAACAUGUGGGGUAUUGUCAAGUCAGUUAUUGACAUUUGCAUGAAGCUAGACGAAGGAAAAUAUGUGUUGGUGAAGGAUCCCAUCAAGCCUCAAGUACGUCUCUAUGAGGUCCCGGCAGAUUCCUUUGAGAAUGACUACUUGGAGGAGCCAAUUCCAGAGGAGGAGCAAAUGCAACCUGUGCCUGUUGAGGAGCCUAUUGUGCAGCCAGUUACUGAAGACAAGGAGGCUGAAGUCGAUGCGGACGUUUGAGAAAAUUCACUAGAUUUGUUUAUCACGUGUUUUGAUCCGUCUUCAGUUGACGAUGUAUGCUUUAGUAGGUGGUUUAGUAUCUUCAUUGGUUCCAUGGGAACGUUCUAUGUUGAGUUGGGAUGAAAUUGAGCUUCUAGUUUGCGUGGUCGAAGAAGAGCUCUUUCUAAACACAUUUUUAUAUUCAUGUUCUUGUGUCUCGCUUAGUGUUUCUUGCAGGGAAUAUGUCAGAUAUCUGGUCUAGACAAAUCAUGUUAAGAGGGAAUCAGGUAUAGUUUUAGAACUCGUGAGAGUUCUGAAGAGGUCGGCAUAGAUGAGAAUGUUUCAGUGUAUUCUGUUGUAGCUAUUGGGUGCCUACAUACUGCAAUGACAUGUUUUUCUGGGCUGCUUGGAUCGUGACUGAAAUUUGUGAUGAUAUACGCUUUGUUUUGUUUUGAUUUGUUUUGUUCUGUCUUUUAAUGUUUUUAGUCGAUCACAAAAUCAGAUUUAUACUCUAGAAUGUAAACCAGAUUCUGUUGACCUUCGUUACUAACCUUGUGGCUUCUGUUCCUAACUGCGAUCUUACUUUUUAAGUAGUAAUCGAGCUUCUUUGUUACAAUUGCGGUACAGUUUAUGAACUGAUACUGCAGUUUGUUGCCUACAGUACUCGAUGAGCACAAAUUUGAGUAUCAUGUGGAGGUCCCUUCGCCAAACAAACAGAAUACAGUAAUAGUCUCUGACCACGACUUGGAAGAAGAGGAGCAGUCUGAUAUAAAAGACAAUAAUCCCCCUGUCUGAGACGGCGACAUUAUACGUGAGAAGUUGUCGGGAAGGCUACUGUAAAUGUGGCUUGUUACUCUGACACUAAUGAAUAGAAUUUUCAUUUAGAAAAUAGAAGUUUAUUUUCCCAGUCGGGAAUGACAAUUACCCACGUACAUCCAAUUGUAGAUAGUAGAAUAUGAAGUUUAGUGCUAAUCCGUUUGGAGAGUGUUCCAUCGACCCAUGAAGUGGAACAAAAUAUGAGUUGCGCUGCAUAUGUGGCAAGCAACAAAAUUGUUAUAAAGAAACUGAAAGCUAAGUGUUUUGGGAUACUCCAUAUUUUAUGCAGCAUGUCGCAAUAGUUUUUAGUCUGGAGCUUCAAGUUAUCUUUUCACUUUAUUGUGGAAGUUUGGUACAUAUUGGUACGAGUAGGUACGUGUUCAAACGGAAAGGUAUCACUUUCGUCAUUUAGUAGUUUACAUCAAUGUUGAAAUCAAAGUUCGUUGCACAACGAACAACUAUAAUCACUCACAAAUAAUACAUUCCUGAAGAAAUAAUACAUCCAAGACUCGCAUCUCAACCAACGUUGUUGAAAAUCUACGACGAACUUCAUAGCGAAGAAUGAACUCUUACGAUACAAAGUCACUUAGUCCACCUAAAUAUUCUCGUAUCUAUCCAGAGAUUGCCUUCGCUGCUGAAGAGUAGCGGACCAUUUUCAGCAUGAACCAAACAUAGAAUAGACUAAAUAAAAAAUAAUAAGAAGAAACUAAAAAUAAAUAUAUCCUUGCUGAGAAUGGUCCUGCGACUAGAUAACACUAUGCGGACUAGUUUAUAGGAGCAGGCAAGGUAGAGCCAUGGGGAAAAGAACGUGGCACCAGCAAAAUUUCCUGAGGAGUCUGUUUCGAGGGGUUAUGUCGCUCAACAGCGAAGCUCCAGACAAGUGUAUUUCAGGCAGAAAUGCAUGAGCUGACAGGAUCAACGGUUGCAAGCUCUCAGUAACCAGCACUGAAGCACACGAAAACUAUGUUCAUAUCAGUCUGAAACCUAGAAUUGUCAAGCCCAAGCUGCGCAGAACCAAGCGUGAAGUGUUCAGAUAACUUACUUGAAUUUCGAGUGCAUGUUGGCUUGCCACUAGUCCUAGUCUUUAAGAACUCCCGCUCCUGAAGUUCACAUCCCUCGUCAACCGGCAGAUGGAUUCCGAAAGCUGUUGUUCUCCUCGCUUGUAUUCUCCAUGUUAACAACCUCCACACGAAUCCAGCGUUCACGAUGUAGCAACCACUAGGGAACAUUGACAACAGGAGGAUAUGUACAGAGAGUCCCAGACUCUUGAUAGGACUAUCUUCUUUGCGUUACGUCCUGGUAGAUGAUUAGCCAUUGCUAUGAGUCUACUCCGAUCCUGAUGAUACCCAAACUUCUAACCUCGGCUGUAGAGGUAUCCACAAUCCUGCGUCGUGACCAACAAGACGCUGCCGCUCUAGUUUCUGCACACAGCAAUGACGAGUCGCAACACGUUAGGGCUUGUAAAUGCUACCAAUUUGAAUAUGUACACAAAUGUCAACUGAGCGAUUAUAGACUUCAACUUCCGAGUGAUGUCGGAGGGAGGAUUCUAAACCUCACAAUGAAACCAGCACCCAGUUGAGCACCAUCAGUUACAGACAAAUAGGCUUGUUAAUUGAACAGUGAUUACUGACUGAUCACUUACUUUAACUUUGAAUCAAGGGUUUUAGAGAUAGUCUUGUAGUAGUGACGAUGAGGCUCGUGAUCCCUGAUCUUCCGAGGUUUGUGCGCGUUACAUGCAGGAGUUGCAGGGAUCUGCUCAGUUUUUGCACACUCUUGCAGCAGCUUCAAGGACGCGUAGCUUCCGAUUGCGAUCUUUUGGUUCGCACUGGCCACGUCGAGUGAAUGAACAGGUGCAAGGUUUUUCUUGGCGGUGGAUUUGGGAUGGUCCACUGGGUCUAAGUUCCCUCUUGCGAUUUUGCUGAUUAUGGGGUUGGAUGACGCCCUCGGAGACACUGCUUUUGAAUCUAUCUUCGGUGGUGGCUUUGCCACCGGACCAGAUGAUCUCCGUAGCUUGCUGAAGAACCUCCCGAAUUCUCCUGUCAACUUGUUGGAUUCGGACCCCACUAGCUUCAAGGUCUACAACAGGAACCACAAGUAAACUCGGGUUACAAAGGCCUUCCACAGUCAGAAGUGAUUGUUCUUACACUUUGUAGCAUUCUAGAAAUUGCGAGAGAGCGUGAGGAGGUGAAUUAUUGGUGCCAAUCGAAACCAGAGGUGCGGUACCAAACACGAGAGAUUACCUCGCCGUUGUCAUCUUGCUUGCGACCACCAUUGCUUCGUGGGAUGUACUGUCGAUUGUGAAAUCCAUGGGGAUCUUCCUUAAUCUCAUCAGCUGCGGAGGCAAGCGAUUUCGAGAUCAGCUGCGACACAGAAUCAUACUCGCCCCCGCCGCAGUACUGGGGGUCCCAGGAUCGGGCCACAGGCACAUCCCGCGAGCGACCCUCCAUUAUUGCGAUGCCUUGAUGGAUUUCGGCGGACGUCAUGGUUGCUCUCGCUGCUGUCUUCGCCACACCGCCUUGGCCCUUCUUCACUUUAAUACCAUGCAACGUGGGUCGCACAAAUUUCUUCGGCAUGGGCGGUGGCGGGGUUCCGACCUUCGCCGAGCUAUCCCAGCCUGGUUUGCUCUUCACAGGGCUUUUGCUGUGGUUUUUCCGAGAACGAUAGGGAGAUUUGCCCUUGGAUCGAGGAGGGCUGGGCAAAUCGAGCUCCAACUCGCGGCCGGUAACGAAAGAUACAUGCCGCGCGUUGUCCCUGCUUGACCCCGUCGACCGGCGUGGCAAGCUGUCAUCGUAAUGGCCAUCCAAGGUAAUGUCGAAGGCAAUGCCGCCCUGGGGCGAGCGAGGCGAUGAAGGGCUGAUGCUGAUACCAUCCUCAUGCCUACUAAUGUCGAAGACAAUACCCUCACUGUUCGCAGCUUGCGCCGGUGGAGGGGCAAUCCCGUUCACGAGACUGAUGUUGUGUUGGUGGUGAGGUCUUAUCGUGCGCUCCUCCUUCACUUCUGGCUCCUUCACAGUGUUGGCAACUUGGUCCUCGAGCUCAUCUUCGGGGUCUUCGUCGGAAGUUAUAUAUCCGUGCCCAGUCUCACGCCAUUCGUCUUGUUCGAUCCUCUUGGGCUCAUUCUCGGAAAGUUGCUUAGGGUGGGUGUUUCCGUUCAUGGAGGGUGGCAGGCUGACAUCCCCGUUCGCUUCAACGAGAGGGGCGUAGCCUAUCGGAUGUUUGCGGACGCUGGCCCUGACCACGGUAAUCCCAUUGACAGAGGCAGUUGACUGCUUUUCCUUCACCGGCCGCCAGGCACUGUAAGACAUGCCGUUGGAAAUUAUAGAUUGGGCCGCUAUCUCAUCGGGCUGCCAUUUCUUGAGGGAGAUGCAGUCAUUCCCAUCGUCGUCCUCAUCUUUUCCUGGUUGCGGUAGCUUGAAUAUUGGCGACAUACCUAAUGGUAGAGCUUGCAGGUCCUUCAGCCGCACCAGUUCUCCCGACUUCCGGGAAGUGGCUUGAAGCCCCGUCUCGAUCACCAUGACUGUAUUACAGAAGGUAUCCAAUCUUACAGUGAGAAUCUGUGGAGAGGGUUUUUCAAGCAUAGGAUACUGAGUCAAAACUACUUUUUUCAACCUCGCUCACUCGCCGAUUGAUUUAUCACAUUUCUUUUCAUUGCAACUACCUACUCUGAGGUCGUCACUAGCGUAGAGUGUGAAGUAGCGUUAAGGAAACCCAUCUUCGUUGCAAAUAAACGCAGUACCUCUCGAGUUUAUCCAAAUCUUACUCACAACGGCUGAUAUGAAUGUAGCUUCGACUGAAGAACUAAAAUUUUAUAGAAAAAUACGGCUUUAAGUUAGGCCACAAUAAACCGCCUGGGACAGAGGAUAUUAUCCGCUCCGAAUGAAGUCUUCAGCUGGAAAAGAAACAUUCUAUACGACGGCCCUAAGACAAGAAGAACUCUGAUGCUUACAAGCGAAGCAAAUGAAUACCGUGAAUGCACAUUUGGCUCACUAACGCUGAAGUAAGUGCAUUACGAGUCAUAAAACAAAAAGAUAUCAUGGGAGUAGUGAACAUAUGAGGAGACCAAGAAGAGCUGUUGUUUUCUUCGUACGUAUUUCGUUUUGGGGAGUUUCUACCUGACUAUCACAAUCCAAUAAAGCAUUCCCAAAACUAGUGCCCUCACGAGGUAUAUACGGUAGUAUAACUGAUACUUGGCAGUGAAUCCAUUCUAGUCGAGUUACACGGCACAAAAACGGUCAUCGCUCGCACAAGGGUACUGGCAACUUUGUAAGAUUACGUAUACCAUGCGCUGUAGCAGCAGCAGUGUCGAACGCAAAAACAGUGCACAAGCGCAAACAGUAGCCUGAGAUUGUCACCCUGUGACUUGAAUCUCGCGCGGAAGUAAACGUUGAGCACGUCAUGCUUAGGAAAAAAAACCUUGAGAACAAACGUCAAAAAUCGGUUCGCAGCAGGCACUGAAUCCAGCAUACAGAUCUCUUCAUCGCGUAUCGAAAAACCUCUUUUCACCUGAUCUAAACGGUACAUGUGACGCAAGAGAGAGAUCAACCAAAACACAACCCAACAACACCCGAGGUUCCGGAUCUCUCCCCUGGCUGCUCCUCAGUUAUCGAAGAAUGAGAUCCAAGCGCAUGCCUCACAGAAAUAAAUAAUACAUUGCAAACAACAUCGUACUGGUCGCAACCUCGCAGCGAAGAUCCAGCUAGAACACGAUCGAGAGAGCGUACCAGCUAACGACCGAUUGGCUGAUGGAAGUCGCGAAGGCAGUAUUGGCUCUCUGUGUCGCGCUCUACAUACCAGAGCAGGCGAUCACAAUGCCAACGGAACCCAACAAAGUACGCCAGAGCGUGUCGUCGAACUCAAGCUUUGUAACACCAAGAAAACUGUCGUUCCGUUCCCUUCCGUGCCUACGGCAGUCACCAGUUGGACACAAACACGCCAACAAGACGAAACUAAUGGCUCCAGUAGGGAGGGAGGGAGGGAGGAAAAUAAAGCAGCAGCAGCCUGUAGCAAGCACGCAGGAAAUCAGAGGGGGGCUGGAAAGGGGGCAAAGGCAGCAGAAAGAGCAGCGAGGGGGAUGCGCAGCGGGGAGGCAGGCAGCGCGGAGAAGCUCCUGGUCCUACUCCUGAGCCUCGCCUUCCGGAGCCUAGCCCAUUCACGGCAGUACCAUAUAUGUUUAUAUUUAGUUCUACUUCGUUACGUCUCCCUAAUUCUUCUUAUUCUCCUCCAGUUUGACAGUUCCACUCCUGAGCCAUCGUGUCGCAAUCCCGGGCUCCACAUCAGCUGGCUUCAGAUGAUUCCAGUCCCGCUUGUGGGUUCUAGCUGCUGCUGUUGCUGCAUCAUCAUCCACCUCUUGGGCCUGAUUGCGUUGAUCGAUGCAACCAGGUAUCACUCCCAGAGUUCUGCUUUCCUGAAGCUGAGGCAGCAGCACAGCCUCGAAAGUGUCAAUGUGAAAAAGAAGUAAGAAAAACAACAGUAAAUCAAACGCUUUGCGUGCCGGACAAGGUGAGCUCACGCCUCAAGCUAUGGUUCUCUCCUGGUCUGUGUCUCUCACCACAACGCUGUUUUUCCUUCUGGCGCUGCACCCGAUGCACAACCAGCAAGGUAAAAGAAAAAACAAAAAACAAAAACAAAAGAACAUAGCUUUGUGAAAAAAUGAGCCGGAGAGCGCCGUUAUUUUCUCUAUAUUUGCACACUCUUUUCUUUUCUAUUCCCCACGAGAAUUUGUGUCUUUACUGUGGAAUAGUAUAUGUUAUGUUGCGACAGGGACGAGAGCAAAGGCUUCCAACUCACCCACACAAACACACAGUACUAUAGAUAUACAUACAUACAUACAUACAUACAUACAUACAUAUAUAUCAAUGUUGCCCAGUUACAAGUCGAAGAGAACAACGAUCUGUAUCCACAGCAAUUAUGUGAUCUUGGCAGCAUUUUCUUCCAUGAUAUUGCCGAAAAUUUAGUUCUCUGAUACACAAUUUUAAAACUUUGACCUAGAAAUGACACACUCAAGUCAUACUUGGAGUCAAACUCAUGACCCAGAGGAUGAUCUAGUCUGAAUGAAUUGUGGCUAAAACAGAAAAAAGAAAAAAGAAAAAACAGGAUUUUAGCAAGUUUGGACAGUUGCGAAAAAAACCAGAUGGAUGCGCAGGUGUGAACGCGCCAUGCAGAUGUGGUUCGGGAGGGAUGGACCGUUUUCACACCGUAAGAAUUGGCGAGCCGGACAUUACGGCCCAGUCACCCCUACCAUGGCGGUGCUCAUCCGCCGCCAGGGACCGGGUCCCGGGACGCGGAAAGGAUCGGGCCGGGCCCAUGGAAUCACGGGUGACCCGGGCUCAUGCCGGCUGGUGGGGGGGGGUUCAUGGAUGAUAAACGCGCGCGGCUAUGGAUGCACAGUAUGUGGUUUUGGAUGAUCCUUAUUUCUGGUGCUGUUUAUUUUUUCAGUAUGUUGUCAAUGGAGGUGCAGGAACCUAAACACAUAUUUACUGUGAACUUGUAAACUUGUACACAAAAAGAAUUCAGGUCCUGGAAAAUCUCGACAUGUUCAGUCUCCUCUCUGGUACGUUUAUUCUUGUAAAUGAAGAGCUGCAACUUUCAUAAAGGCAAAGUCAUUUUGUCGCUUAUGAAGGGCGAUGCUGCGAAGGUUGCAGUAUCUGCAUGCAUAUAAUGUACAUGUAAGUCAAACAUGAAAAGAGAAAUUAAACCAGCAGUGGGCUUCCACAGAACUCUUGCACAAUACUUUGUGCUGCUGCUGUAGAAUCAUAUUCUCCAAUCCUCAGGUCAAAAGUGCAUCAUUGAUCGACAUCGAUGAGUGAUGCUUAUCACAUUCAAGUUCCAUGUCAGAAUACUUUCGCAGCCUGUGCAAACCGAGAUGCUGCAAAAUUUAGGGGCUGGUGGCCAUGGUGAGUUUUUAGUACCUAGGAAGCACUUUGUAAGGGUUCAGGCUACCGUUGGGCUCGAGUAGAGUGUUAAAUUUCUCCGUAAGACUAAUCUGCGAUUGCAAUACCCAACAUCGAAUGCUCAUUCUCAGAAGUUGAUACAAACCACAUUGUGAAUCGUUUAGUCAUUAAGCACAAUACACAAGUCUGUAUGUUGAUUACAGAUCUACGAUCUCAAAGGCAGACAGGAUUUUGCGCAAUUUUAACUUUUUCUUCCUCCAACAAUUUGGGGGCAGGAGCAAUAAUUAAAAAGGGUCGGCAGAAGAACGUUCAGGUCUUGCUCGGAACCGUUAACAGUCUUGAAGUUGACUCAAGGCAGCUCACGUAAUCCUCACAUGCAAAGAACGCUGCGUUGACCGACCUGAGAUUCGUAGGCACUAAAAACUCACUAUGGCCACCAGCCCCAAAGUUCCUUCAACGAUUGCAUUGCUAAUCGAACAUAAACUCCGUUUGUAAAACGAGAAAGUGCAUAAGAAGGCCAGGUUUAGAGUUCAAUGAUGAGACCAUAACUUACCAAUCAAAAUGUAUUUUAAAUCAUAUCUGGAAUCGCCUUUUAUCGGUACCCCUAGCAUAUCCCCAACUGUCUCGUCUGCAGGUACAAUUUCAAGCCCUGUCAAUUUUGGUUUUUUUCCAAAGACGUGUGUUUAUAACUCACGCGUAAGUCCAGAUGAAAAUUUCUUGAACCAAGGGUCUUUCAAAAUUUGUGAAGGCCUGUUCCAACUCAGCUGCCUCUCAUUAUGUAAUAGUCAUAGAUAAUUCACAACAUGCUCAGCAAAACCAAAAAAAUCCUCAUUAACUUGUCCUGAAAAUGACAACAUCAAAUCGCACCAACCCCCUCACGGAAAAGGACGAACUAACAUGUACACGGAAACUGCAGCACGAUGUGAUGUUCAAGGUUACGUUCUCACUUUUAGUGAUGAACCGAAUCAGCCAUGCACCAAGAAUAGCAACAUGCGAAUAGAAGCAACAAACAUUACUGAGCACACUUGAAGCAAACCAUAUCACAAAAUUCGUAAGCCAACGCAUGUUGCCUCCAAUCUGACAGCUCCCUUUGGCACUCAGGUCCACUGGUAUCGUGUAACUUAAAAAAUCAAAAUGCACAAUGUCUGAAUUCACGAGACAUUUGAGAGGUGCAUUGAGCCGUCAUUAAAGUGAUAUAAUAGGAAUAGGCUUUAAUAGCGGAAGAACAUAAGUAGUUGCAAUUCUGUUUAGCAAAACGGAACUAAAAUGUGUGAAGUGAAUAGUUCUUACAAAAUAGUUGUCAGUCCCAAAAAAAGAGUAACCAGAUCAAUCAAAAUGCAGCCAGCUUCACAUGCCAUGAUUCCACUGACCUGCAUCAAGAAUCAAGGCCACAGCUGUAGCGUAUCAGCACUCAUUGUUGCAGAACCGAGGCAGUCUGUCCUAUUGAAAUCUUCCAGAAUCAACUAUGGAAUCUGAAAAGGGCACCCCGCAGAAUGAAAUGAUCUAAACCAUUGCUCCAGGGUUCAUAAUAACGUGACAAUAAACAAUUUCCAACAAACGAAUAAUGAAGACGAUGACCACUAGAAAGGCAAGAAAAAAGUUCAAUGAGCGGCAAAAUAAAGAGCUCUACGGACAGACCUAUGAAGGCCGAUUUGUGCAACGAGAUUACCUUGUCACAAAUUGGGACACUACCUUUAACCGAGCCAUUGUUACCUCCUUGUGGCACCACUACCAAAUUCCUAGCAUUGAAACACUGAAGGAUCUCAUGUCCUAACUUGAUGAGAACAGCCAAGUAUUGGCUGUUCACAAGCCACAAUAAUAGAAUAAACAGAGAGGGCAUCGUGUUCUAUAAAUUAAGAGAAUAGCUAAACCCAACCCCACAUCAAUUUGUGAUUCAUAGCAGAUUAGUAUAACCGUUACUCACAAAUAGAUUACUGCCAAAGGAUGGUUUACUGCUUAGGGAUGACAUGGUGCAUUUCUGAAGAAAAUAAGAUAACUCAGACAUGAAUAUAUUUCUGCAUUACUUCAAAAAUAUUAGAAAGAAGUACAUAUAUUGAGCAAAAAUCCCAUCUGUUGUGUAGGGUGAGGUCGGAGUGGAAUCUGACUGGCCAAUGGUACUUGUGCAGCGAAUUUGUCCUCUACAACGCCUUGUCACCGACUACACUUUUAAGAUGUUGCACGUCCUUUUCCUUGUCAAAGCGGGUAUUCUUGUUGUUUUUUCGUAAAUACUACAAACGCCCAGAAUUGACUCGUCAUGGACCUUUCAAAUAAGGAACCUCUUCCUUAUUCAAUGGACGAAUGUAACCCAUCCUCUGCAAGACCUGGUCUACACUUAAUCACGAAAAUGAAAAGAAUUCAUGCUCUGCAACCCAUUUCAAAUGAUUUGCAUUCGAAGAAAGUAGGUGGACAAUUGCAUGGAACAGUGAUAUAUGAUUCAUCAGCAAAACCAGGGUUACAAUCUCAAAAAUGGAACGAACCGUUGAGCCAGCAAAUGCGAAGCUGAAUUGGGUUUCACCUACAAGGACGAAUGGGCGACGACGCGCCCACCAUUUUCAGCUGCCGGGUCAGACAACGUUCCAGAAUUCUGGUUAUGAAAGCCCCUUCCUUCAAAUUCAAACGUCUUGACCUAAUCGAUGUAUCUGCAGCUCUUAUCGACGAAUUCAGUCCUAGCUGCCCUCAAAGCCGGUUUCAGUUUACUGAAAUGGUGAUUUUGAGGAGCAGACUGCCUUGUAUGUAGCUUGGGUGUGCACUCAAUGCUAUUGGCAUCAGACCCGGCUCUACUUUACUAAAAUGGUGAUUUUGAGGAGCAGACUGCCUUGUAUGUAGCUUGGGUGUGCACUCAAUGCUAUUGGCAUCAGACCCCGCUCUACGCCCGAAUUAGCACCACUUGGGAUGUCUCCGCAUGUGUGGACAUGGUGAUGCGGGAAGUGAGUCUAGAUUCAGGAUUUGCGGGAAGGGUAUGCCAGGCGGAUUUGGCUUACGUUCUGCGUGAUAAGCACACUAGAUGUUCAGUACUUCAUUUCUCGGGGUGCAGUUUUGAUCAGUUCCCGAAUUGUUUUGAUCAAAACUAUGCUGUGCACGGGUGGCUGAAUUACGUAGCUGGGCCCUGACUGCUUGGAUGCGCAGCGGGGAGAUAAGGUUACAAUAACAAAAAUUCUCGGAUUGAUGUACUCGAGAGUGAGUUGAACCCAUGUCAUAGAAAAGUGCGAAUAUGGAUGCUGCGAAUUGCUGCUGCAAAAUACGAAAGUUUGCAGAAGUACUGAGAGUCCACGUUUCCUUAAUAAAACCGGAUUCAUGAUUCUUUGUGCACACAAAUGGGUGCGAUUACUAAGUAGCAUUAUACAUACAAGAUGAGAUGAUCAACCAUCGAUGACAAUCAUUUGAUAAACAUCUAAUGUCAUGCCCGUCAAUGCAAUAAGACCAAAAAAAGAGAAAAAAAACAAUUCAGGAAAGAUCCAGUCUGGUGCAAAUGUGAAAGAAUUGAACUCCUUUCAAAAGGAAGCAGUAACAUUCUCACACUCACUGCCAUCAUUGAAUCCUCCAAAGUUCCAGAAAAUUUGAUUCUACAAAGAGGUGUUCCAGAAAUUCGUUCAAAACUUUCAAUCCUUAGGCUCCUGCACACACAUUAACUAUCAUCAGAACAACAUAAUGUAAUUGAGCAUACUCAGGGGUACUAACUACGACUAUGCCUAGUUAAUCAACUGAGAUAAUCUGACAGGGUAACCUGCUAAUGGAGACGCAUGAUGCAUUACAAGGGCAUCUCUCGUAUGCCUAUGUUGAAUAGCGCAGGUAGCGAGGAGGAAAGAAAAAAAGAAAAAAAGAAAAGAAGAGAAACAGCGAUUGGAAGAAACAUCAUAGGGCAGGGAAUUUAAAUCCAUUAAAACCCCACGGGUGCCUUACCAGUUUAGAUGCGGCUGGGAUACAUGAACACUCUGACUCUGCCGCCCUGCGAUUACAACCAAGUAACAGAAUGCAUGAGUUGUGAGCAGGGUAGAUUCACCAGGUAGGUUGAAAUUCAGAGUGAUGGAAGCAUUCCAUUGGAUGGAUACAAGAGGAGGUGCUAGAAUGCAGAGCAGCAACCAACAUACCAGAGACGAGGGAGGGAGGUUGCUCCUGAAUCUGGCGCGGACAACGCCACUGCUACCGUGGGCGCGGGCCACCUUGCCCCAAAUAACACGGAACUGGGAUCCAUUCUUCUUGGUCUUGGCCUUGUAAACGUAAGCCAACCUCUUUCCAAGGUACCAGUUAACUUCCUCAGAUGUGUUCACACCUUCGAUCUGGAGGAGCGAGGUGCUGGGGUACUGGUUCGAUUUCGACCUGCAUCACCAGAAAUGAACUACUAAAAAACCGCGAAACCGAAAGUUCUCGAAAAAUCAGCUCCCAGUUACAAUAGAAUAAAAAGAAACCGGGGAAAAAAAACACAACGAAUUGCCAUAAUUUUUAUUACUCUAAAUAACAAUCAUUAAAGCCAUAUCCAAACAUAUAACAGAUCACAAUGAAACAUAAGCAAUCAGCAGGCGGAAAAUUACAUGCCCUAAACCUAAAUAUAUUUAAAAAAGUCGCCAAGCUUGUUCCACAAGAACCAAUCCCAGCCACAGCAACAAGCAAAAUAAGGAACUAGGAGUGAUGCACAACCUCUUGUAACCGAGGAUGGUACCCCGAACAUACAACCUGCCACAAAACAAACACCAAUUCCAACUGCUCAUAAAAAAAGUCAAGAGAAAGCGGAAAUCCAAUCAUCCAAGCGGAGCUCACAGUUUCCCCCAACUCAAUGAUGAAGAAACUCGCAAGUGGAAGCCUCUCCAGCGAAUUCCAGCUAGAAACCACAGCAAUGCGUCCGUCUAAACGAACAAAGGCUUGCAGAACUGUACCAUGUCGUUCUGUGGCGAGCUCAGAACUCUGUUUUUUGCCCCGUUUUUUUCUUUUUUUUUCUUUUUCACGAAGGCCACCAUGAGAAGAUGCAGUUUAGGGGGCACAAGUGGAAGUGGAAGGAGGGGCUACCUGAUGCGCUCUCCCUUGCGUUCCACCAUGGCUGCAAAGUGCGAAGCUCCGCCGCAGAAGAAGCUUGGCUUAACGACGACGACGAUGGCGAGGGCGAGAAACCAAAGAGGGCCUCCCAUUAGGGUUUCGUUGUAACAUAAGCGCGCCUGCCAUGGGAACUCUGUCGGGAACCUCGCUCCCCGGGGGCCGUUCCCAUCGGCAGGUAGCCCGCUUUGGUUCUCAUUGAGGUUCUUAAUCGUCAGUUCACGUGAUGACUUUGUGCUUAAUCAAUACUUGAUAAGCUUCAAUAUUCGAAGAUAAAUUCAUUACUUUAUUGAUUGAGUACUUAAUUAAUUAAUUAGUUAUUUAUUUCGAAUCCUGUGUGUUCAUGGAUUUUUCACAUCAUUUUUUUAUUUUUAUUUAUUUUUUUAUUGUUUUUUACUUUAUUACUAUUUUAAAAUAUUUCCUCUUGUCUGCAUACUCCAUCACUAAUAGAACCUCUUCUUCCAAAAUUUCAGUAAAGUAAUUUUAUUUUUGCGCACGUUUUUUUUAUUCUUUGUAAAAAUAUAAAAUUCACCACAUUACUAAUUGCUAUUCAAUUUUAUUUAUUUAUUUAUUUUUUUGUAAUUAACUUAAUAUAAAAAUUGAUGUCAAAGAAAUGAAUUGCAAUGUUAAGAUUGGAAAAUUUUAUUCCAAAAUUAUGGUUUUUAUUCAUACUUAAUACUUCUUAUAAUUAUUUUACUUUUCAAUUAAUAAUAUACACAUCAAAAUUAUUAAAAAAUAAUUUCAAUUAAACCAUGUUUUAUCUUUUUUUAUAAUAUUUUUAGCAUAUAUGAGUAGUUUUUUUAAAACUUUGGAAUUUUUUUAAUUAAUUAAUUUAUUCUUCUUCAAUCAAGUCUUUUUUUAGUACCUUUUAAAGAAUUGAUUAUUGCAUACAAUUGCUUGAGUAAUAAAUUGUUCUAACAAAUUUGCUUUUUAAAUUGUCAAAAAUAGAUAUUUGAUAUUAUAUUUUAAACCAUAUUAAAAUUGCUUGAUAGGAGUCUUAUUGUUCCAAUCCACAUUGCAAGCAAGUUGUUGGAAUUUGACAAUAUUGAUAGCAACUAAACAUAAUCAUUGUUGCAAAGUCUAAAACUUUGUUUUUGCUACUAUUUUUUAAAUUUCUCUCUUUGAAUGUAGCCAUAAAGACUUUAAAAAUGAAUUUAGAUCAUACAAAAGUCAUGACUCUUUUUCCAUCAAAGAUACAAACCAAGAAAUAGAACUUUUAAAUAGAAGUGUACCAAUAAGUCAUACUUGAAUGAUUUUGUGAAGGCAUCAAGAAAGAUAUAAGCUUAAAAAGAGCUUAACUUAUUGUAGAAAUCUUUGAAAUUUUGAUCUUGUUCCUUCAAACUUCUCUAAUAUACUCACCUAUGGCACCUUUAUAAUUAUAGUAGCAAGACUUUUAGGAAGGAUUUGUAAAAAUGAUAUACUUGUACUCGUUUCUCUUGAUUGUACAACAACUAGGUGAAAAUAGUAAACUCCAUUAUUAACUUCUUCUAUAGACAUAGCAAAAAUUCUCUUGUAAUUAAAAUUGCUACCAUUUUAUAUUUUUCCUUAGUGAAUAUUAGAAAACUUAAAAAGAUCUCUAACACUUGCAAAUCUAUUCUCACUUCUAUCAAGUGUAGCAUCCAUAGUUUAUUUUUCCUCCAUCUAAAUAUUAGACAACAAUAAGAAACAUAUAAGUCAAAUUUGAAGAAAAUGAUUUGCAAUCUCUAAAACUAAAUAGAAAUUUUCACAAAAAAAUAGUCUAUUAUCUUUAAAAAAUAUUUAAAGUAAAAAAAAUAAAUUUUAAAAUAAUUAAUCUACAAACAUUAAAAAUAUACUUUUUUAUUUAAAAAUAGGAUAAUCUACUUAUUUAUUAAAUAAAACAACUAUAACAAGUAAAUAGUUAUAUCAAAUUAUUAAGGACAUAAAUCCAAAUAAAAUCCAAAAGGUAAUACAUUCAUAUAAUAUUAAAGAAGAAAAAAAGAUAAAAAAAUGAGAUUUUUAUAAGAUAAAAAAAAUAACUAAAAUGACCAUUGUCAAAUAUAAAUAGACUAGAGAGUCUUGAACCAAGACUAGAAUACAAGAAAGGUGUUGACAAGACUGAAAAUGCCAUUAAUCUUGCUUCAAUAUAUACUAGGUACAAAAUUUGACUUAUGGAAGCUUUCAAGGAAUUGCAAGGCUUAUAGCAUGAGUGUCUAGUUAUGGAUUUAUUCUAAUGUAACUUCUUAAAAGUAAAAAAACUUAUGGAACAAGUUUUAAAAGUAACGUGGUAUAUCUAAAAAAGUCUAAAUAUUUGGUUUGUCUCUAAGAAACUUCUUUAAAACUUCUUAAAGAAAAUAAUAUAUUUCUAAUACAAUUCUACUUACUUCUACUUACUUCUAUUUAUUUAAAUAAUAUAGGCAUCCAUUAUAAAUACAUAAAUAUGAUAUAGUAUUAUACUAUCAAAUAAAUAAUAAGCAUCAAAGUAUAAAAAACUUAUAAAUUAAGACAACUUUGUUAGAUGGCUAUCAAUCAAAGAAUACAACUUAUAAAACAAAGAAGAGAAAAUUAAUUUAAUAAAUUAACUUAAAGUAUAUGCAUAUAUCUAUUUAAUUCUUCAUUUUCUUUGAUAUUAAGAGGUUUGAAUUACAUAUUGGCAAUAUUAUAAUCAAAUAUUUUAUUAGAUAAUAAAAAUAAGAUUUUUAAAAAUCAUAAAAGGUAAAAAUAGUAAAAAAAUUAAUUUUUAGGUCUUCUUUUUAAUCUUAUAUGAUAAAAAAAUUAUUAUAAAAUAUAUAAAAAAAUAUUUAAUUUUAAGUUUUUUUUUUUUGAAUUUUAUAUAUUAAUGAACAAGAAAAUUAUAAUUUUUUUCAUGAUGUAUAGGAAUUUAUAGAAUAUAGUAUAUAAAUCUAAUAAAUAAAUUUCAUCUUAUAAAUCAUCUAUUAUUACUAUUGUUUCAAUACCAUCAUUUGUUAUAAAUUGCUUGCUCCAGUUCCACAAGAAUAGAAGCUUUACAAUCUCAUUUUAUUUCAAAUAAUCUUUCUUACUAAAAGAAGUUAGUAGAACUUACAAUGCAUAACAACCAAUAAAUCUCAAAUCACCAAAAUUGGUAGAUGAUUCAGAAACUAGAAGGAAGGCCAAUAUUACACAACAUACAAUAAAAAUUUGUAAAAGUAGAAAUGACCUAAAGGACUUCAGAAGAGAAAUGAAUCCCCUGUAGUGAAGCUUAAGGCAUUCCAAGUGUCCCUAAUUAUUAGGCCUCAACUUUGGAAACUAUUUAAGAUGUCGAUAUUUUCUCAACUCUAAUAUCUAGAGCCUCUUUGGUGUCAUCAACAAUCCAGUUGCAAACAACACUUUGAAAGAACCAUCAUAGAAACUCAAAUGUUCCAAACUAAUUAAGGCAAUGAGGUUGUGAAACUCUAAUUUUAUUUGGAACACCUUCCAAAAAUCUUUUCUCACAACAAACAUUUUUAAACCACUCAAAAUAUGCAACUUGGUAAAGAGAAAAAAUUGUAAGGUAAGUAAGUGAAACUAUAACAAUCAACAAGAUAUAGCUCUUCUAUACCAAUCAGCUUUCCAAUAGACUAUAAGAGCAUUAUUUAGAUUUUUUAUCCCAAAAUAUUAUUUCCUUGUUUUGAUAUUAUUGAAAGCAUAUGAAGAAAAAAUUUAAAAUUAUAAGAUAUCUAAUCUAUUUGAAGAAUUUUCUAGUAUUUAAGGAUAAAUACAAUAAAUCCUAAAUAAUAAGUUUAAUUAUAAAUUGAAUAAUAUCACACACUAUUAUACUUUUAUGACUAGGCACAAUUAUUUCUACUAGGAUAGUUUUGAAAUUCAAAAAAAUUAUUAUUAUUUUUGAUAAAAAAAUCAAAUGUUCAAUUUAUUAAUACAAGAUCAAGUGUUUUAGUAGAAAUCUCUUCACAUCACAAUAUGAUUUCUAAAACAUUUGAUUAAUAAAUAAAAUAUUAUUUGAUUAAAUAUUGAUUACUAAUUAAAAUUAUCAAAUGUAUCUAAGAAAAAAAUACUUCUUUUGUAACAAGAUUUUAAUCUUAUAAGUUAUUGCAUGAAUUACAUUGUAUUUUCUAUAUACAAAUAAAAUUUUGUUGAAAACAUAUCUAACUUAUUAAUAUAUAUAUAUAUAUAUAUAUAUAUAUAUAUAUUAUUUCAAAAAUAAUUAAAAAUAAAAUUUAGCAAUUCUACUAAAUAUUGUUACAUAAAAGUUUACUUAAAACCAUAAAUUUAGAUAAUUUAGCACUUGGAAUAUAAUAAAAAAAUUAUACUUGGUUGACAAAUCUUUCAAACUUGUACCAGUUAUUUUGUAAAUAUUUUAAAAAUAUAAUUUAUAGUUCAUUAUUAGAUUAGACUAUAUUUCAAUAUUGAUUUCUAAAACAAAGAAUCUCCAAUAAUAGAAUAGCUUCAAAAAAAGUCAUUCCAUCUCUAUAUUUUUAUGACGAAUUAUUUUUGAUGUUGGUUGCAAUGGAAAAUCAAUCUUACAAUCUAAUAUUUAAAAAUAUUAACAUCCAUAAUAGUAUACAUUUUAAAAUAUUUCUUUUAGAAUAUUAUAAAAUCUUAAAAUUAAAUGAAAGAUAAAAACACACCACUAUUUUCUUUCAUAAAAAUUAACGGUUCUAAAAAAUAUGUGGUAGAAAAAUUAUUUAAUUUAAAGAUGAAUUAUCAUAGAUCAAAACUUAUAAUAUUUGAAGGAAUGUAUUAUUAAUAAAAACAUAUUGAAACAAUAAAAAAAAUUACUUAUAAAUUGUAAUAUAUAUAAGCAUCUAUCCUAAUCAAACUAUCACUAUUGUUAUAUAAUUUUUAUAAUCAAACAAAUAAAAAUAAAAAUUAUUUUACAUCUUAAUUUUAAAAACAUUGUAAAACUAAUUACAAAGUCUUAUUUUUGUAGAAUUACAAUUUAGAGACCACACCAACAUACCAUUAAUUAAGCCAUUUAUUUUGUGAUCUUUAUUGAAUAAAUGCUAUGCUAAAAAAACAGUAAAUUUAUUUUUGAAGGCACUUACAAAGACAUUAAUACAAACAAAAUUCAUAGGUAGUCAUUCCAUCUUGAUAUUGGCUAAUAUUUUUGACUUAGAAUAUCCAUAAAUCAUCUCAAAGAUAAUAAAAAAAUAAAAUAAAAUUAUAAUAAUUAAAAAAAUAUUUAAAUAAUUAAUUCAAAUUCAUAAAUAAAACAUAAGAAUAAGUUUCAAAAUAGUGGUUACAAAAAUAAGAUUCAAAGCUCACAUAUAUUUAUAAAAAAUUUAAUAUAAAUAAAAAUUAAUAUAAAUAAAAAUUACUAUAAAUAAAAAAUUAUAUCUGUUUAAUUUUAAAAUAUCUGUAAAAGAUGUUCAUAUUCAAGUAUAAAAAAUAUUUAAUAUCUUAUAUUUUUAAAGAACGUAAUCUACAACAACCUUUAGGCCAAUAUUUGACAUUAAUGUUUUUAGAUAAAAUUGAAAUUUAGACAUAUUAAUAAUUAAUUUUUUAUUGAUUUAAUUACACUAAAAAAUUAGAUUGAAUUUUUAAAGUAAUUUAAAUUAAAUAAUACUUUGAUAAAUUUCUCCACUUUAUAUUAAAAUUUUUAUUUUUCUAUAUUCUAAAAUAAUUUACUAUUAUUAUUAUUAUUAUUUUGUGGCCAAAUAGUAAUGUUAUUGAACAGCUCAAAUAGUAAAUCAUUAAAUUUGGCAUUUACUUUAACUUGUGAUUAAAUUUCUAAUGCACAAAAGUUCAUAAAAACUUAUUUUUUGAAGUAAUAUAAUUUUUAAAUUAUAUUUGUUGUAUUUUUUGAAAUGAUUUAGUUUAUAAAAAUAAAAGUAUUGAUUGUACUUCUAUAAUACUUGAAUUGAUGAGUUGAAUUGGUUGUACUCUAUAAGAUUAUAUGAAGAAUCCCGUAGGCUUAAUGCACAUCACCAAAAAGUCUCUUAUUCCUUGACUAAAAUACUAAAAUCUUCUUUACUUCAUUUCAACUUUUCUCAAGAGGACUAUAAAAAUUAUAAGUUUGAACUUUUUGAUUAUUAUAAUUCCAAAACUCAAGAUUAACACAAACGAUUGACAUGUAGAAACACAAACAACUUGCUUCACAAAGUGAAAUCAGCUUCCUAUUCUGGUGCUCCAACAAUUGCUAGAAAAUUUGAUCACAUCAUGAACCAUGAAAUAAAUAGACAAAUAUGUCUCCUCACAGAAUUCCACCCCAAGUCAUGAGAAGGAGGCUCAAAUACAUUUCAAUGAGUGCCACUUUGGAAGUCAUCGUCCUACCUGAACACUACAUCUAUAUCAUCACAAUUUCAAUCAAAUGGCAAAAGAAACGUCGGAAGAAGCGUAGGGUGACAUCAAAAGCAUGAAAUAUAUAUAUAUAUAUAUAAAUAUGCAUCUAAAAUGGUUCAUGUGGGGGAGUGGCAAGCAAUGAAAUGUGAAGUCACUUCACUUUAUUCAGCGAAAACCAUAGCCAUAAUCUUGCACGAUUGUUUCAGCACUGGCCAAGCCAAACAAAGACAAGGCAAAUGUUGAACUCACAAGAUGACGAUGAUGCUUUCACUACGUCUUACAGUAAUCUCAGAGCCAACUCUGCUGCGCCAGGAAGGGGCUUCUGUGAGGUCGAUGGACAUGACAAUACCAACUCAUCACACUCCAGCACCAUACAUUCCUCCGGGCUAGCGGUCGAUCAACAUAACUACAGACUUACUAGCAUCUUAUCUACGCUCAUAAACACGAGAUCGCAAACUUCCAACUCGUCUACUACAACUUGUGGUAGCGGUUGCACAGUAGUCUACUAAAGCAAAACACCUUUCAACGCUUCACUCGUCACAAGCCGCUGUCGAGGAAGCUUGCUCGAGGAGGUUGCACAUUUCGAUGUUGUACGACGAGACACGAAGAAGAAGAAGAAGAAGAAGAAGAAGAAACACUCUAAUUAAGUCAGUGUUUUCUGCAGCACACCCACGAACACAUCUGCACUGAACACCGUGCUCCGGGUGUGCCGCAAUUCGAUGCUAUUACCUUACAAGAUGGACGUCUCCGGGCUGCUUACAAGCGCAGCCUCUGCAUGUCCGUUUGAGGGAAAAACUGGGUUAAAUGGUACAAGCGGGUCACCACACACCUCGUGGUGCUCAUCGUACAAGGAAGUCGUUGUUGAUCGCAUCUACAACUUGAGAGGACCUGCGCUUCUGGUGAUGGCGGGUACCAUGUGAGCGGGGCGUGACGAUGUGCUGUAAGCCUUGGCGUAGACGCUGGCGGAGGUGGCCCUGGCUCCGGAGCCCGUGAAAUACGACCCUCCCAGGAAAAUGUCGCCGCUGGAUGCCCAAUUCCAUCUCUGCCAGCCUCCGUAACUGGAUCCGCCGUCGUUGAUGCGUUGGGUUACCUGCAAUUCCAGGAUAAUCAGGUUAGACGACAUGACACACUCUGUGACGGACGGCUCGCAUUGUAAAACAAAGCUGCCGCUAAUCCUCAACUGGCCAAGACAUAGUGGAUACCUCUUUCUUUCCGGCGGGAUUGAAUCGGUUGCCUUGGCUGAGAAUGGUGGGAUCUUCGCUGCCCCCAAUCGCGUACUUCCCCCAUCCGGCUGAGUAGUCAUUGUUCAAAACAUGAAACACGCCGAACCGGCACCUGCGUUCCAAACACACACCAGUUACUCAACUUCCUCAUAUUUACAGGAAAGUGACCAGCGGGGGCAUGUGUGUUUACUAGUAGCAGACACCAUUUCAUCGCCAAUCAACGCGCAGUGUCGUACCUUGGCAACCGUUGGACGAGGCCGGGUCCGAAUUUGUUGAAAGCCACGGUGACCCGCAUGUUCCUGUCCUCGGUAUGGUCGGGGUCCGCUCCAAGCAGCAUCGUCUGCAAUCCAGACGAGUGUGCACACUUUCAGAAACAGGGCGACUAAACCUUCAGGGCACUAACCCCUGCAGGCAAGGUCCUGUCAGGACAUUGCUUCGGAGUGAUUCAUUACCUUGUCAUGCUGUUCCAGGAAGCAGUUGGAAAUUGUGACCAUGGUGGAUCCGCGGGUGACAUCGAUGAGCCCAUCGGUCGCCUUGGCCAAGUAGCAGUGGUCGAUCCACACGUCCCGGGACCCCCAGAUGUGAAGGCCAUCGCCCUCGGAUUUGUUGCGGCGGAUUACUUUAGACGGGGACACUCGAAUGGUGGUUGGUCCCGAUGGUCGAAUGUCGUGAAUGUGCAGGCCGUGCAGGAUGACGUUGUUGGUGCGAAGGAUGCUGAUCUGCGAGCCUCCGACAAUGUGGACUUCGGCGCCACGACCGUCGACGGUCUUGUAGGCGGAGAUGAAGAGCUCUCCUUUCAGUUGGAUGGUCAUACUCUUGGCGAAAAUGAUCCAAAGCGGUCCGUUUCGAGUCACUCCGUAGCGCAGUGUUCCCGGCUGAGGGUUCUUCGCAUCAUCUCCAUUGUUGGUGACGGUGUAGAUGGGUCCAUUCUUGCCGCCGAUGGCAUUUCUUCCGAAUCCGGUGGCGCAAUUGGACAGUGCCUGGCGGUGGCUGCGCCAGUUCGGGUCGCACCUCCAGCAGUCGUCGAUCGGGUUGCCAGUACCGCACCCGCCCAUGGCCUUCGCUAAAGAGGCGAGCAUGUCAUCCGCGUCCGUAGCAUUUAAGUCAGCGGUGGCGAGGCUCAAACCACUGUCACAAAUUCACGCAACGAACAAACCAUGCCCAUCAGAAAACAGAGCGCAAUUGCAGGGCAGCCAUCUGCGAGCACUCAGCAAAACUCUAACAAAUUUCGAGAAGCAGAUCAUGAUUUUGCUCGGUGCGGAGUAAGUCAAUGGUGCAAGGAACUGAAAGUGGACGUACUCGUCGCUGGCCUUGUAAAUGAUGUCCGCAGCAGACGUGUCGUAGAAGACCUCGUCAUUCAUGUAAGCAGCUUUGGAGUGGUACACGUUGUCGUCUGCGAAGCUGGUGGAAGGGGGUUCUCGGACGCUCUCCGGAAAGUCGAUGAAAACGUCGUAGGAUAGCUCGCCUUCGGUCGCGGCGUCAGCGUUAGAUUGUGCCGCUUGAGAAGGUGACGCUACCAGGUCCUCGCUGGCGAAGGUUUCGGCGUCCCAGUUGUUGGCAUCAUAAUUUCCAUUGUUGGAGUUAUAUUCAAACGCAUCGCCUGUCUGCGCGGCGAAGACCGGGGUGUCAGAUUGAGCGUUGGACCCAGUGUUUUGGGGGAAUUCCGGGUACUCUUGGUCGGUGGGAACAUACUCCUGGUUGUCGAAAUCUACCGGCAUUGACCUCGCGUGGGGAGACUUCCACUGCGAUGCAAGCACUAUAAGCACCGUCAGCAAACUCGCCACCCGCCCGGACACCAUUCUUGUGGUCGAUUUUGAAGAAGGCUCGUCUUGGAUCCUUUGCUGGCACUACUGGGAACCUGAAGUCUAAACAAGCACAACUUCUCUGUAAGUUGAAAGUCUUUUGAAAUGCCUUUGCGCAGCAACCAACAAUCCCAAUAGGAUCCGCAACUCAUAAUUCACAACGCAACGAAGAGUUGGAAGAAUCACCCCAUCACAUUCUGGUGAGGAGAGAUAGCGAAGUAUGCAUCAUGUCCGUGGACAUAAGCAGGAUUAGAGCCUACUCACGUGGUGAACAAGCCGAUGGAAGUAGCACACUUCCUAUUAACGCCCGCGAAGCUUCACUUGGAACUUCGAUGCAAUCCUUGGUCAGUGUUUGCAUCUGCUUGCAGAAUGAGUGCGUUUUGCAGCUCAAUCUCGAUUCAUGGGGAUGCAGCACCACGCCUUUCUGAGGUUCUAGCUGGUUUGAAGCCCGGAGAUCAUCACAUCCAGCUCCACCUUGAGUCAAGCUUGGUGCAUGUCGAGAGUGAGAUGGCCAUGUAGCCCACCUUCAGAGCUUAAGUGGUGCGAGACGCCAUGUUGCUUCAAGCCAUGAACGUGCGUAGAGACCCCUACGGCGUAAAUCUCUGAAAUUAAUUCCGUAGCGCGGAGGAUGAUUGCAAGUCACCGCAACUUCUUUCCGGCUAAUUCAUCUGCUCCAGCAUCCGAUGCCAGAGUAACACUGUUUCGAUUGCCAUUUACAUGUGUAAUUUGUGCUGCACCAUCGCUCUGUUGCCGUGCUCUGCGAUUAACUCGAACUGUUUGUCGUGCAAGUUGAGUAACCAAGAUUCGCAUUGCUAAAUACCGGCCUCCUGAGAGGAUUGUGGCAGAAAUGCGAAAUAAGUGGGUCAAAGUGGCAAUCUAAAAAUAGGAAGACUCCGGACUCGGCGGGCAUGCGCAGGGUGACGUCGGGGCUGGACCUUGGCCCAAGCAUGUCGGCAGACUUUCUGACAAUGUGACUCAGAGUGCACUAGCCCAGAUCUCCAGUCCGCCCAGUUUCAACCCGUGUGCAUACUUUUGCUUACCAGUCGCCUCGGACGAAACCGGUGAAGCAUUUCUAUUCAGGAAAAAACGCUCUCGCUCUCGGACGGAUCAACCUUCCAGGUGCUAGUACAAAAGCCCUGACAGAAUGUGAUCAAAGGUACGCCCACACGGAUCACUGCCAUUAAUCAAACUCGGGCGCGCACGCGAUCCAGGGGACGAAAGCGUCAGAUUCUCUCGAGAGACCAAAAGUGUACAUUUCGUCGACUUCAGAACUAGGAUUUACGCAUGGUUCCUUCAAGUUCAAUCUGCCUUGAAAGACAUCGAAUGUCGAAUCCUAGACACAUCGGGCGCUGCAAAUGGCGAUUCUGGAGGGAGUUUUCGCACUACCCUGUGGAGAAUGGUAUUGCUGGAAUACGAAAGCGGGCUACGGCUUCCACAUGCAACCGGGUCUGCGCACAAAUUCAGGGCACGUCUGUGAAGAAAUCGAGGGACGAGGCGCUGGUUCCAGUCCGAAGUUUGUGCGGCCGCGGCUGCUAAAUUCACGGGUGGCUGUCGUUUAUCGGCCUUUCGCAGCCGAUGACAUUCCUCGGAAGUGAUGUGCCUUUUAAAGCACCGACUCGGUUCAUAAAGUUGUCAUACUCCUUUACUUUUUGGAUUGGAGAUGCUGGGAAUCGACUUUUUCCCAGAAUCAUUGUUAACUAAUACUUUUUCUUUAUAUAUAUAUAUAUAUAUAUACAAGUGAAAACCAGUGCAGUUGGCCACCAAACAUUUAUUGCAUCUGGCUGGUGGUGUCUUUGUAGUGAAAAUAGGCAUAGGUGCUGGAAUCAUUAAUUUAUGCAGCAAAUUGAACCAGUGGAAGAACUUCCAAUGUCCAAAACCACCACACAAAUCAGUUUUUCACUAGCAGUUCACAAUUCCUUGAGAAAAGACAAAGGCAAGAAAUUAAAGACCUCACGGAAUCCACCACAGCCAUAGAAGCAAUGCUGCUUUAUUCAACCUCACUUGGGAGUUUCCGAGCUCCAUGUCUAGUAAUCUUGAAAUGCUACUUUCAAUAAUUUACAGCAACAUCAUGCAGUGAUAAGUGAUUGAUCAAAAGUUGAUUUAUUGUUUCACUUUUGCUUCUAUUUUGAUAAAAACAAUGGAAUAAGUAUCCAAUUAGAGAUGGUUUUGUCUCCUUUGGUUUAUCCCCAAGUUGUUUUUAUAUCAGAUAUAUAUUAGUAUGUUUGACUAUUUUUAUCUUAUUAUUGACAAAGUGUGCAAGGUUCUAUUGAGCAUGGUAAUGAUUUUAUAACUGGGAUUUGAUUAGUUCGCCUUUUUUAUAUUAUUAUUCAUGAUUUUUUACAAUGUUUUGUUUUGGUUUUUGCAAUUUGGAAUCAUUUUAAAGCAAUUUGCGUGUCUUUGAGAAUAAACUCUAAAAUCUUAAGUUGUACCUUAUGAUUGCUUAAACUUGAUCAAUAAUUUCUAUAUACAGAAAAAUAGUUAAUCAAUUGAUGUAUAAUAAGUCUAACUAACUCAAAUUUUAGAGUCAUGUAUGUAAUUGAUGGUAAGUUUUGCAAGUAUUUUUGGACGACUUCAUUCAAUAGUAACUGGAGAGUUUUUGUUAUGUAAUGAAACUACUUGUAUCAAUGCACUUGUACAUGUCCUUAUGUCUCAUGACAUGCACAAAAUUAUAUUAUUUACACUUAAAAUCAUUGUUUAAGACACGUUUUUUUGUCCACACAUUAGCAUGAUUAUUGAACGAAGUUAAAAAUACAAGCACAUCAAAUCUGGAUCCUUCUCUUAUUUUAAUUUGUAAUAAUUUUAAAUUUAUAAACAUGAUAUUUUGUGCAAUAUGAAAUAUAAAACAAAAAUAAAAAGAUUACAAAAGAAACUUGUCACUUUGAUUUUAAAAAUACUCUGCUUCUAUGUAUCAACCCUUAAUAACCCGCAUGUAUUUGUAUAAUGAAGUCCAACAUGAUUGCAAAACAAUAAAGUAAGUAUUGCAUAAGAUAAUUUCUAAAAUAAAUUACUACACUAUGAUGAUAAAUCAUCACCAUGGUAUGUACAUUUGUAAGCCAAUAUAAUAAAUGGUGCAUCUUCAAAGUCUAUCAUCCAAGAACAAUCAAUUAAUAUUUUCAGUAUAUAUAUAUAUAUAUAUAUAUAUAUUUACAUAUAAGAAAUUGUUAAAUUGGCCCAGACAUUUACUAAAUCAACCCAUCCAUCAUCAUUGAUUGAGGAUCCAACCAUUUUUUCAUUGCCUAUUUAGAAUUUUUUGAUGAUGAUUAGGAUGAGUGGAUAAAUUUAGUAAAUACUUGGGUCAAUUUAACAAUCUUUUUUUAUAUACAUUUUACUUUAUGUCCAAUUAAUAUCAUUUUUCUUUACAAGUAAGAAUGCAAUUAUCACACAAUCUGUAAAUAAGACAACACUUCCAAUACCAAGUGGUUUUGCAACACUCACUCAAGAUGGUCCAUUACAGUAUGUAUGAAAAGGAUACACUGCCACAACCACUUGACAUUAAGAAAGGGCUUGAUCAGCGUCUUUUCUAAUUUUGGAAAAAUGUGAUAUUCGCAUGAUGAGAUGAAAUGCAAAUUCUUUCAGCUUAACUUCUUUUGCCACAUCCUCUGUUGACUGGUUGUGGGCUCAUCUGGUCAUUCGUUAGCAUGUUGAUAAGGCCAAGUUUCUCCCAGUGAUAUAUCUCGACAAUCUGGCCACUACUGUAGUCUCAUUAUUGAAAAGAAUUAAGAUAAUGAAUAUUCCUUCAGUGAAUUCAAACAUAAGUGUAUGUGGAGUUGUGCAUUUAUCUCAUCAUCACGAUGACAAGAGAUGCGAUCUCGAAAGGAUAGAAUAAGUUAGGCUAGAGUGUGGAACUUUGGGCAACUCCUGUAACGCAUACAUUUCUGAAGGCUUUACACGGCAUGAAGUGUUUAAACCCUUGGACGACCAUAUGGUUGAACGAUAGUAGUCAAUUCGCAGCAUGAGUUUGGUGAACUCAAGAAUCUGCAUUUACGUUCGGGAUUGAACACCAAGAAAACGACAACAGCCAUAUAAGUUAUGACAAACAGCGACGAAAGUUUCUUCGUACAUGCUGGACACGGAAGGAAACCAGAAUCCAAGUAAGCUCAAAAUGUUGAUGAAUGAACUCAUCGGUUUAUUUACAGUACGGGGACAAGAUCCAAAAACUCCAGAAAGUUAAUUCCCAGGUUAAGCUGCGCCCCUUCUUAGAGAAAACCCAAGACUCAACCAUCAAUUUUCCGCAAGAUAUCCAGAGCCAGCAAAUUGCUGGCUACUGGAUCCAAAUUUAAGUGGUGCUCGGAAGCUACGAACUUAACUGGCUCAUCUUUCGGAACUGCUCUCUUAUAUACAAAAGCUUCAGCACCUCCACGUAGCAAUAAUUUACUGAGAUUGGGUAGGCUGUCCUAGUUGUGGUUGUUGACCAGGUCGAGGCGUGUUUGACCCUCUCAACGGUAAUACAGGAGCUCGGGCAGCUGCUGCCGCUGCACGAGAAGCAUUCUGAAGCUCAAUUGACGAUGAGCUUGCACUGCCGUUCCCCGACGGUCCUAAACUUUGGCCACUACUAAGUUGAGGGCUGGACGGGUUUCCAACCAGUGAAUUGAGGCUGCCACCCCCACUCAACUGUUGUUGUGGAUUCAACUGCUGUGCGUUCAGUUGUUGAGGGUUGAGCUGCUGUUGUUGCAGCUGCUGCUGCUGUGAAUUGAGCAGUUGUUGCUGUUGCUGCUGUGAGUUGAGCAGUUGUUGCUGUUGUUGUUGUUGUUGUUGCUGCGGUGAGUUGAGCAGUUGCUGCUGCUGUUGUUGUUGUUGCUGCUGUGAGUUGAGCAGUUGUUGCUGUUGUUGUUGCAGUUGUUGCUGUUGUUGUUGUUGUUGUUGUUGUUGUUGCUGCUGCUGUUGCAGCUGUGGAUUCAAUUGCUGAGCGUUCAACUGCUGUGCCUUAAGUUGUUGCUGCUGCGACGAAUUCAAGUAAUAAUUCUGGCUUGAGGAGGGAAUCUUCGGUGAGGCAAGCCCCGUCACUGAAUUUCGUUGCAAUGCAGCAAGAUUGUUCCCCCGAAUCAUGCCCUGUACCAUUCCUGAAACACCAGAGCCUCCGUGCACCUGGUUUGUACCUCCGAGAGCUGAGAGUGCAUCCACCUGAGAUCGCACUCCACCAGUGUUCGCGAGCACACUUGUGCCUGUCCGUGCCCUCCCAACCGCUAGUUGUUGCACUUUCGAGGCUUGCUGUAAUGCAGCAGCCUGGUUUAUAGUUCCAAGUCCGGGUCUAAGUAAAUUUGCUUGUUGUCCCAUGGCAUUCAUAGCACCCAAUUGACCCAUAUUUCCUAGACUCGACAUUCCAAGGGAUGGCAUUCCAGACAUAGACGUCAGUGUACUUAUUCCACCAAUAGCAACAUUAUUCAUUCCCGCAAGGUUAUGCAUGUUGGCCAAACUUGCUUGAUUACCAGUAUUUGCUGGCAUUCCUACUGAAUUCAUAUUACUCAUGCCCGGCAGCGUGUUCCCCAUAGUUCCUGAUAACAUGACUUUCCGCUGAUUAAGGAGAUGCUGAUGCCUUGCCUGUUGUUGUUGCUGCUGCUGUUGUAUAUACUGCAGCUGUUGCAGCUGAUUAGACUGGGCCACCAGAUGAGGGGAAGCCAAAUUAUGCCCCUGGCCACGUCCAACCACGGCAGAAGCAACUCAGAUCUCCAUCUUGAACUAAAUUACAAGGACGAUCCUGAACAUGAAAAGAGCACAAUAAGAAUUGAUGGAUGCAGUCCUACCUGACCCGUCAGUUGGGCUAUCUGUGAGGCAGCCACCAUCUGCUGUUGGUGAUGUUGUUGGAGAUGUUGCUGCUGCUGCGUUUGCCGCUGCAUCGGUACUUGCUGCUGCAUCUGGUGAUGUUGCUGUUGUUGAGCUGCUAUCUGAGAUGCUUGGGCAGGGUCAAUCUGAGAAGGCUUUACAUUCGAAGCAAUACCUUGUUGACCCAAAUGGUUGUUCAUGAUCUGUUGCCGACUCGGGGCAUUCGACGGAGGCGGCAUCCGGUUAGCAGCCAAUUGGCUAGGGGAUGAAAGCUGCAUUGGAUUAUGAGUAGGCAUUACAUUCCCUGGUAUAGCACCUUGCAUCAACUGCGGACUCAUUACAGCUCUUUGAGUAGUUGCAAGAUGACCAACUUGGGGGUUGCCCAAGGUAGAGGCACCUGCAGGCAUGCGACGAGCACUCGAGGCUGCAUUCACUACUGAAUUACGAGGCGCACUUUGUUGAACUUCGUCAGAAACUAGCUCAUAAUUCUCCUUUUUCAGCUGCCAUAAACGGCAUAACAAUAUACGAAGCAUCAGACAGGCGUGAUAUGAUGAAUUUGGAGACCAUACAACAAAUAGUUUAUUCAUAGGAUGAAAUAAUUACAAAGCACACGCAUUUAUGUAACUCGAACCAAAACAAAAUGUAAUAGAUGUAACAUUCUCCGAAAAACAUUUCUCGGGACAGAUGAGAAGUAUCGGUUUACCAAAGCACAGUACUGUUUUGCAAAUCGGUCAGCCACAUGCUGCAUAAAGAACGAACAACAGGCAAUGACAUCAGUAUGUAACAUAUCAAAUAGAUAACCUUAUCAAUCUUUUAUUGAAUUAGUCAUGUACAAAAUAUUCUAUUUUCUAAAAUCUAAGGACGCCAGAAGCAAUCAGAACGAUGUUCUUGAGAAAACAUACUUCGAAACAUACUACAUGUCCACUAUGUGCACACUUUGCAAUACCUCACAAUCCGCAUAUCUAACCAAUAUCCUGGACCUGCCCUGAAAGAUUUCAUUUACUUUCGAAGCCUCACCCCACAGAAGCUUGGGAAGAAACUGAUAAAUCGAACUCUGUCCACGUACGUAAUAUCUGACACUAUAACCUCCAUGUAUAUUACUCAUCACCACUGCAAAGCAAGCACUUUAAAGCAUUCCUACUAAGAGAUUCGACUGUUGAAAUCUAGAUAAUUCAACAUGCACACAUGGACAUUCUCAGAGUGAAAUAAUACAAUCGUUAGAAACCAGUACACUUGUAAAGACUAAUACUUACAACAUUAGGCAUGGUAGGCAAGACAUGGUGAGGAGGUUCAGCUUCUUCUUCUUGAUCAUCUCCAACUUGGAUAAUAGCCUCCACCAGGCUAUCUUUUGCUCGACCGCACAAUACAAGACGUUUUCGUGAUCGAUGAAAAGUAGGUUGAUAGUUCAUUGCUCCUGUUACCACUCUCUCUUAUCAGUAUCAUCUUCGAAAUGAUAGUCAUUAUAAAGUCCGAGAAGGCCCUAAAAAUUUAAACAAAACAAGUUCAUGCAAGUAGAAGUGUUGCUGCAACUACAUGUACAUCCACUAGAUCCAAUUUCACCAAUCAAAACAAAAUCAAGUGCCGACUCUCUUUACGACCUGCAUGUCAAAACGACAUAACAAGUACACAUACUUGCCUGGAUAUGGUUGGUCAAGCUUUGGCUCAGUUUUCACAAAAAGCAGGGAGCGGGUCUUGCGAGAGUUUACGUUUCCACCCGCAAGAGAAUUGGCCAUGCUUCGCUGACCAAUAGGCACUUUGACCUCACUAUCAGUCUCAGACAAGGCCACUGACAACAAUUGGAAAGACGGGGGAUUCUUGUUUGGAAGUACAAAAUUUACGGCUGGUUUCUUUCUGUUGUGCAAUCCAUGUCUAGAGAAAACAACAUGAUAAAUAUUCUCAGUAGCUAAUCAAUAAGGCAUAAAUGAAGGAAGCAAGAAAAGAAAAGAAGUUACGUCACAUUUCAAGUGAACCAAACCCACAGAUGAAAAAAAUUCGAAUAUUGAGGAUAAGAAGAGAAACGGUUCCGAAAAGUGAAUAGCAAACAGGGUAUGUUUACGUGUCAACAUGAUUACAAAGACGUACCGCUGGAUGGCAGCAACUAAUUUAUGUAUUGUCUCCAUCUCUUUAUUCUGUCCCUGAACUUCUGAACCACCACUUGACGUAACUCUCUGCCCACCAGUUGCUGGUUCCAUCUUCACACCUGGUGCCGAAAGAGCCCCAUUCCCAAGGGGUAGAGAAGAACCAUUCACCCCAGGAUUUGGAGUUGCAUUUGUGGGAGUUUUCGGCAAUGAGUUUUGUCUCUGUCGAGAUUGCUCCAAAGAGUGUUGCAUCUGAAAUAACACAUACAAUGUGUAAACUACGCAUAUUGAAGACGUCCACAACCAAUUUGCCAAAAGGGAGUUCUUUCUACUACAAUCUUCUUUCGUUUCUUUAUCCUGCCAGAGCGAUCACACUUGAAUCGAUCAACAGGUGCAUGUAUCAGUUUGUACUCACUACUAUUAGAAGUGGACACUACAAAAAAAACUAAUAAAUCAAAUGCAGCAGCAGAAACUGUGGCUGCCACUUGUAACAACCAGAAUGCAUUCAUGUUUUGGACUGUCCAAAGAAGCAAUCCACGCUCCAUAUAGGGAGCGACACAUUUCACUUUAAUCAAGACUUAAGGAGACUUCCCAUGAUUCUCUCAAGACCGAAACCAGCCAUGUGGCGAUUCCGAGGGCAUAGUAGAGAUAGGUCAGUAGAUCAUAACGAAAUAACCAUACUUCAGCAAUAAUACGCUCCUAAUCGAUAAAAAAUGGAAAUGCAUUGCGACCUAGGAAUAAACAAGUUGAAAAUCAUUACCUGACUCAUAUGACUUGGACCGACGCCAGAAACAAGGUUUGAACCCAAUACAUGCGCUUGUGCCUGCACCAGACCACCGACGGGAGACACCAAGUUGUGGUUGGACCCCAUGCGUAACUCUGAAACCCCAACACCUGAACUGAAAAUCACUCCUGGAAUUGGCAAAGGAUUCUGCGGCAGCAGAGGGUUCAUUGGUUGCUGCACCAUCCCCAAGUGUUCUAUGUGUUGACCUGAUCGAAGUCCUUCAUGUUGAACCAAAUCCUCAUUUAAGUGACUUUUUAUUACAAACUUAACAUCCAACUUGACAUAAAUGGGCAGCCACAAAAAGCAAGUACCAUUUCAUGAGGUUUCGAGGAAAUGGUCGGGUACAAGGAAAGUAUUCAGCUCCUAGACCAUAAGCUAGAAGUGAUGGUUCCAAAUUUGAAGUACCUUGAUGUUUCCCUGCAUCCGCCAGUUGCUGCUCUUGUCGUCCUUUCUCAGCAUCAUCAAGACUUUGUGAAUCAAAUUCUUGUUUGGGCCUUGAAACCUCCUGUUAACAGAGCCAAAAAGAAUGAUUACAAAUCCAAGAGAAGGACAAACUGAUACAGGUUUUGAAUCAUACCUCAACCCAAAAAGUUUAUCAACAUAAUACACUCACUGUUGAAACAAAAAUCUCAUAGUAAUUUUACGGGAAUCUCGUAGCUGUCAAGAAUAAUAGUUCCAAAAUUGAUUGCCCACAUACAAAAUAAUAAAAAAUAAAAUACAAGUUAUUGAGACGCUGCACAAUUUGCCUAUAAAAUACCAAAUAGCACGGUACUUACUACCAAUGUCAUCACUGCACUUCCUCUACCAAAGCACAGCAGAAUCUCACAUUUGUUGUACAUCCUGACAUUAGUUUAUAAAGACAAAGUUUGAGUGCAAAGGGUAAAACUUACUUGUGGUUCCAUCUUGAUCACUACGUCAACCCCUUCUCUCUGAUCUCCCAUAGAUCUGUUCUCAGAACGAGGAGUUGUAGAACCGUCCCCCAUAGAGAUGGAGCCUGAGUGCUGAGACAACAGCGACAAAUGACUGCUACUUCGAAAAAGCUGCUGCUUCUCCAAUUUGAGUUGCUGCUGCUGCUGUAGUUUUUCCUUGAGUUGUCUUCCCUUUUGAUCUUUUGCAUCCUGUUUAUCCAGAGCUUUCCGUUGCAGUAACUGCUGUUUUUCCUGUAAUGCCUGGACGCGUUCCAAAGCUGCAGAUCAGAAAUAUGUCAUCGGAGUACCAAUACCUUUACGUUCAUGUAAAAAUUUCUCAUCUGAUUAAACAAUAUAAACUACUUGCAAAACCUCUUACAACAGCAUGAAAGAUGGUUUUUUUUUUUGCGUAAACCUCACAAUAAUCUUAUCGCACUGGGGACUUUCACAAGGCGAGAAAAAGCCAAAGGUCACAAUGUUCAACCUGCUUGGCCUUCAAUUGCUUUGCCUCAGCCCGAGCUGCAGCUGCUGAUUCUUUGCUUUCCCUCCUUCCGAGCAUAGUUGAUACGCCUCCCGAGCCGCUUGUUACUUCGUGUCCUCCAGCAGAUGUUGCAGGAGACAGAGGACCCGAAGGAACCGAAAGUGCAGAUAUUGAAUGUGCCAGCCCUCCUGCACGACCCACUGACGUUUGCUGUCCCAGGGAACCUAGUGAAGCACUUGACUGCGGCAUAUACACACCAGGUAUUGCUUGAGACAAUUUCGAAGCCUCUUGUAACCGAUACCUUCCACCUGCAAGAGGGCAUAUAAACUAUAAACUUAGACCAAAUGAAGAAUGCGCAUCAAAUACUGGACAAAAAAUUACUCGGAGAGAGAGAGAGAGAGAGAGAGAGAGAGAGAGAGAGAGAGAGAGAGAGAGAAUAAAAGCAAGACACCUGACAUACCUGGUGAUACAGCAGAAACCUGUUUCCUAAGAAGCGGUGGACCACCUCCAAACCCUCCAUCAAUAUUUGUCUUCCGGUGCUUAGCAAAGCCAUCAGCUCUUGACAAAGCUUUGGCGGCGGCAGCAAUAUGCAGCCUGCGCUCUCGCAGAGAACUAGAGGUCUUUCGAUACCUCCCGUAAAUUGAGCAACCUAUGUUAUAUUUUAACUGCAAUAGAAGGGCAAAUUUUACAGAAGAUUACAUCAUGUCCGAAUUUCUUAAAAAAAAUUAAGAUCCAAUUUAGUGAGUAUGCAUACAAGAUAAUGCCAUAGCCUCGAUACAAUAGAAGAACGAUCAAAAUUCAAACAUCAUGCUCAGAAUUCAAAUGGGAAAAGUGGUGACAGAUCGAUAAUCAAACCUUAUUGUAAUUAGUUAUGUAAGCUUCUUUUGCAACUUCUGGUGUUGGGUCCAAGCAGAGUGGAGGUUGCACAGCAUUUAUUAGUCUAGCUUCCAACUCCUGUAACAUUUAAUACCACAGCUCCAAGUUAGAAACAUGUAGAUCAAGAUUCGCUCCUACAUCCUGAUGAUAAAGUGGCGUGCUCGAGCUUACAAAGCAGACCAAAUAAUCUAGCUUCUUUCCAAAAUAAGAGAUCACAAUGUAGGAAAAAGACCCACCAGACACUCUUGGUAGGUCCAACCAUCAAAAUCCAUGCAUUUAAGGUCCUUGAAAAUAUUUCCACUAUUUCGUUGCAGCACCACACGCUGCACAGUCGGAAUAAGACUCCCUUCUCUUCCAUGGCGAGGCAGUGACUGGAUUCUUUCCCCAGAUAGUGUCUGAAGACCAUCUCUGUAAUCACGAAGCUGGUACAAAAAAUGCACCAGCAAUGUUCUAAAUUUGUUCUUUUCCCCACAUCAUCAAAAUAGUUCAACAAAGCAACACUUCGUGACCGCUGCAAGAAACUUGGGACUUAAUUAUGUUCUUGACAUAAUGACCAAAUAAACAGGUGCAAAAGUAGAGAAUUAGACAUCAAGUGCAAUUAGAAAGAAUCAAACUGGAGAAGUCGAUCCAACUAAAAGACCAACCUCGCAAAUAGCACAACCAUCAAAGUACUUGCAGGGUAUGUCCUCAAGCAAGAUACUAGGCAUCCAUCCACCGUCAAUGGCCUAUUCCGAUGCAACACAACGCAACACAACAAUCUUAGUGAACAUAUCACACGUCAAGCAACAGGAUUAAGAUGUAUUAAAACAGGAUAAAUAGCCUAGAUGUUUCUCAUUAAUCACGAACUCACAUUCAUCAUGUAAGACUGUUCUGCACUGAACCAACUUCCUCUGAAAAUAACAGGGAACGAUGGGUAAAAAUUGUACCCUUAAGAAAUCAUCAGUAUUACGGUCAUAAGGUAAUAAGUGUAAUUCUGCCACUUCACAAGCGGGAGGUGGCAAUUUACCCUUCUGUCAAGAAUGUUUCAACAGCGUGAGAUCGUAAGAUAAGCGUUCAAAGAAUCACUGUAAUCUGACAGAAGAUGAGGCUUUACUUCUCCUAACAUUAUUCAGAAAAGCAACGCCUCAUGUGAAAUGUACACAAGACAACGUACCACCGUAGGUUCAUCAAUAGAAAAACCAUCAGGAAACAGAUUGAUUGCAAAUGAAGCCUCGGCAUCUGCACAGAGACAUAAGAAAGAGAUGACUACUAGCAAAUCGAAUCAAGCAUCAUAGAAAGCCCAACUCAUAGACUGAUCAAUGGAUAUCCUAAAACCGUGUGAGAAAGCAGAAUUAAUAGGAAGGUGGUCAAGAUUUAUGAAACUGGAACAUUGCAGCUAGUAAUUAGACUACCAAGCUGAUUCAAAAGAAGCUUGCGCUUACCCUUCGGUACAUUUCGCCCCAGAGAAUCAAUAUGUUUCGUCUGCAAAUCUCCACAAGAACCGCGCGGAGCAAUCUACAAUUCAGUAGACUAGAGUAAGUAAUUCAAUACGCUUCAAUCCUUUAAAAGCACCAAGAUCGAGAAACUUAGAAAAAAAACGUUCAUACGAAGAGACAGCGCACUCGAGAGAAUCAACUAAGCCAAGAAAGCCUUCGUAGGCACAACUGAAGAAGGAGAAUGAUGGUAACUUCAUAAAAUAUUAGUGCCCCUGACGUUCCUAAACAUGUUUAUGCGAAACAGCCGAGAACCACAAAUUUAUGACAUACCUCCCCACGGCUUUUCUUCGCGGAAAGACUCUUCACGCCCUCAAAUCCUUCGGGCAACGGCCGUUUCCGGUUAAGCGUCCCCUCCUGGUGAUUGACUUCAUUAAUGUGAGCGCCAUUCUCUUCAGCAGCUGCUUCGUGAUUCUGAAGCUUCACGUUGGAAGAGACCUUUGGAACAUACCGAGUGCCGAUCUUUGAUAUUUUGAAGGAUAUUCCCACCAUGACUACCUAGACUUUUGCCAACUCCUCAGCUGAGAACAGUGAAGAGCUGGUACUUCAGUUUCUCCCAAACACAGAUUUAAAUUACCCGAAGAGAAAAGAGAUUUAUAAUUGUAAGACAAGCCCACUCCGACAAUACAGCAGGAGCAAUUCAGACUGACCGGUAUGAGGUGCAGAUUCCUAAAUCCAUGCAGGAAUGCAGCCCAAUUCCGCUUAAGGACAGAUCACUGUGAGUAAUACAUGCACCGACAUCAAGGCGAUAUUACGAACUGGCAAAUUUUAUAAAUAUAAUCCGCAUGUGCUCGUUGUAGAAACAAAGUGUCACCACUCUAUGGGCAGGUGGUUUCGACGAGUGUCGCUAGCAAAAGGAUAAAGAUCUCUGAGCAAGCUUGGAACAUUGCCAAACGAAAGAUUACGAUCUGAUGAGGCUCGUGCGGGAGCACAAGAAGCCAAAUAAAAUGCUUUACGAUCGGUGCGUUGUAGAUUCUAUGCUCGCGAAAGACCGUGUAAUUAGCGACUUCUCGCCCUAAAAUUAUAAUUGAGGACACUCCUGUGUGCUUCAGCGCAAAUUUUUUAGCCUCAAGCGUAAGAGUAUGCCGUGUACCAAUUCUAUAGGAUUCAAUUUGAUCAGGUUGAAUGUCUAAAGUGAUGUUAUGAUCCCUGAGUUAGUCACUGCGCAAUUUAAACGCAGAAGUACGAUCACAAGAACGGAAAAAAAUAGAGGAGCAACGAGAGGGCCGGGGCGCCUGAAGUCUUACAUUGAAAUUGAAAAUACGACAGGAGCCGACCAGUAAAUAGUUCUGAUUUGCUCGCCAUUCCUCGGGUCCAUGUUCUUCACACACUAACGCGGAUUGCAGCAUUCACUUCAGCAGUUCACUUCUAUUCCAAUGCACUCCCGCUGAAACCCUGACGACGAAGUUAAUCCCCAAUCCUCAUCCCAGCUGCACAGGUCCUCACCCUCACCCUUCGCAUCACCAGAGAAAACCCUAAGAAAGGGAGACACAGCAACAAGAGCCCUUCCAAGCAAAGAAGCACCGACGCGACGCGAAUCUUUGCCAAGAGAUAUAUCUCAAUAAUCCUGCAGGUCACCUAACAUGACACAGUGUGCAGCUCCAUGGGAAGCUGACAGAGGCGCCAAGCCAAGCCGAUCGCCUACAGACAAGAAGCAAGACAAGAGGAGUGGCGAUACCAGGUGUAGCAUCACCGAAGCUCCGAAGCUUGUCUGCGAGGCUGCAUAGCUGAGGCUGGUCUGCGACGCAACUUGUCCUCGACUCCAUUCCAAGUUGCGACGUUACAACCCAGUCUCCCAUGUCGAUGCUUGGCUUCCUCCGUUUCAACGACUUUUCUUCGCGGUGUGAAGGGGGCCUCGAUCACUACCAGUUUCUUGUAACGAAUGAAUGAGAAUGAGUGGAGAUGAAUUUGAAUGAAUUAACAUUUUCAUCCUUUUUUGAAUAGUCUCGGGUGGUUCAACGUUGUCUGCUGCUGUUCGGGAGCUUCAAGUACAAAUUUCAGCAUGUUGAAGGUCGACUCCGUGUUCAAUUGUGGUCCUUCAUUUUUUGGGUAUAUGCAGUUCCGGGGUUAACUUGAAUGCUCUUUGUGCCCAGUUUCUCAAAACGGCUUUACUCUGAAUUUGCAUCCUGGGUUGAGCAGGCAUUGUAGUCUGGGGGUUUAGGGUUCCGCUUUGGUUGGUUCGACGGUUGAGGAAAGAGCGGAAGCUCCUGUGAAUCCGUUCUCUGAAUCUGCAUUCUGUUCUAUCCUGCUCCAUUGACCCUGUUUUUGCAUCCAGCAGUCAUGUCCUCCAAGCGGAAACACUCUAGUUCUCACUCUUCACGCGAUCCUUCUACCCCCAAACGUUCUCAGGCACCCGCUUCUCCCCAGUCUCGCCACCUUCCUCUUCUCCAGCUGGAAAGCGAGAUCGCGGAUCUCGGUGCGAAGGUGUCAGCCUACAGGGAGAAGGGGUUGAGCUUUUUCGCUGCCCUCAGCGAAGCACGCGUAAGGAAGAACCAAGGUUAGGCUUUCCGCUUGUUCCUACAAAUGCGGUUGAUGUUUUACGUAUCUUCCUCUGUCGAUUCCAAUAUUCAUAUCAUGUACGAAAUCUCCUAAAUGUCAUCCAGAGUAUUUUUAUGCUCAGAGUAGAGAGUGACUACUCGCUAUAAUUCUGAGGUGUUAAUUGAUAUUUUUAAACAAUAAUGAAUUGCUUACAUUCUACAAACUUCAGUUAAAUUGAUGCAUCCAUGUUGCAUCUUUAUAGAUUCUUGAUAAGCCUCAUAUCAUUCACUCUCUGAUGCCAUUGUCAUUGUAAUCGGUUUAUAGAAGCUGGUUGGGCGUUCGCUGCAGUUGCGUCUUACAUUCAAUCAUUGCUAUAUAUGUCUACCAAUGCAGAUAUGAUUCAAUCGCAGAACUUCAAUAUUUUAGAAUUUCAUUCAGUAUGAGUAUUUCAUUUGUUGAUUGAGUGAUUGGCGUAACAUGUGCAUCUGUGUACAGAGGAAACAGCAUGCCCAGCACCCACGAAACCCAGAAGUGUACAUGAAGACCAGAGGCAGGCUUUGAAGGAGAGGCUAGCUUUGGCCAAUAAAAUGUUGCCUACAUUGUUGAAAGACCUUGCUAUGUGGAAUACCAAGAUCCAACAGGCUGUGGACGUGAAGCGGAAAGACCAACGAUUGCCUUUCCUGGAUAGCGUUGAUGCCGAAACGUAGCUGCUUCGUGAUAUCUUCCAGGAGCUUCCUGUCCAGGUCAAGAUAUUGUACAUUCCUCAUCAUUAAGACUUCUGCCUGAUAGUAUUUGUACCAGACCAUGGAAUAAGGAGCCUGAAAUUCUCUGCAAUUGGAAUGUUGACUACAAGGACCAGGACCUUUGCAUCCGUCUGAGAAAAAUGUAGCAUACCGAGUUGACAAACUAAUUAGGAUAAAGCGUUCUAAGUGAUAGCUAGCGGUGAUGUCUGCUGUAAAUAUUUUAAUUUUCAUGUUCCUGUAAGACACGUAGUGGCCCUGCAUUAGUGCCUGGAGGUUCUCAGCCUGAUUCUGGUUUUAAAGUCCCACUAUACGAACUCUUGAUUCAUGGUUUUAGAAAUCUUCCCGUGUUCUCACUUUUAUAUAUACAUGCUGACACGAAGAUUGUUUAUGAGAGUUCAAGCAGAGAUGUGGAUUUGACAAAGGUUUUGUCGUUCGAGAAAGUAUGCAAUAUCAUUCGCUUUCUGGAGUUCAUUCAUUCGAUAGGUCAGGCAAUUUUCGCUGGUAUCCAAUUCUGCAUUGUCCUUAACUUGUUACAUGAGCAGGCAAUCUUGAUUUCAAGCGUACAUUUGUGAAGCAAAACACAUCAGGUGACUUAUCUUGGAAGGGUGCUUCAAUCUAUGUCAUUCUAACAUCCAUUACAUUACGUCAAAUAGGACAUCCAAGAGGAAAACCCCGGUCACUUUUUGUCUUGUAACCGCCGAAGUUCACCUUGUAAUUCGAUAUUUCGUUGCUGCGUCAAUGUGCUAUUUCCACUGCAGUAACGUGUUGCUAUGUAAAUAUCGUGCCAAAUAUUAAGUUAUGUCUUUGCAAAUUUCAAGUUUUUAAUAUUUUUUAAUAUAAAAUGUACUUUAGUAUUUAGUCUAUCUACGGGGUAAAUUUUAGAAAUAUUAACGUCCAGCAAUUAAGUAAUGUUUCAAGUACAUAUACUAUAAAAUAGGAAAAAUAUUUUUUAAUACAUAUGUAAAUAUUAAUGCUUGUAUUACCACAUGACUUUUUAAUUCUUUGAACAUACUUUUUGUAAUUGCCAAAUUAGGAAAUCUACUUAAUUCUUUCUAAUUGCCAAAUUAAUAUUAUUCUUGGAAGAGGUAGUACUGUGAAAAGCUACAUUUAUUUUGUCAAAUAUUUUUCUGCACAAGAUAGGUCUUAUCAUUUUAGUUUAGUGAAUAUAAUUUAUAGUUGAUGGUUUUGAGAUUAUAUUUAUUUAUUUACUCCUUCUAGAAUAUUGAUUUGCAAGAUUUUGCAAUUUAAAAUAUAAAGAUAUCAUUUAAAUAUAUCAAAGUGUAAUUUGUCAUACCAUAUCAUCAUUAUUGUUCAAAAUCAACUUAUUAUUUUAUACUUUUCAAAACUUAUAAAAAUAUAUAUUUAGAUAUAAAGUGAUGCUAAUGCCACCAAUUUUUUUGCUAUUACCACCACAAUCUAUUACCAAUUCAACAUAUUUAUUCAGUUCUUUUUAUUUAAAAAUAAAAAUAAAAAUAUUUAACACUAUUCUUAACAUCAAUCAAAAAAUAUUUAUUUCUAUUAAUAAACAUUGACAAAAGAUGUGGGUAAAUGGUUGAUUGUGGAGGCAAUAGCAAUAAUAUAUAUACAAUAUAUAUAUAUAUAUAUAUAUAUAAUGUCUUUGGCUAUUCUUCUAUUCAUACUUGUAAAAAUUCACUAUUAGUAUAUCUAAAGAAUAGUAAGAUUAUCUGUGUGAUGCACUUAUUAAAUGAAAAUUUAAAAUUUCAUAGUAAAUAAAUAAACCAGAAAAUGAAAUACAUAAAAAUUGAUAAAAACAACAUAUAUUUUUCACUUUUUAUUUUUAUUUUUAUAAUUUAUGGUUGUUAAAAAAUUCGUAAAUUACAUAUUCAUUUAAUACAAAAUAUAACAUCUCAAAAAAAAAAUCUCUGACUCUAGUUAGUAUUUUUUUAUUUUUUAUUUUUAUUAUGUGUAUCGUACAAACAAACUUAUUGUCCUUUACACAUGUUAUUCAUGACUUUUUACUAGUAUGGGUGAUUGAAUAGCAACAACCUGUACAAAACAAUGUAAGUAUUGUUUGAAAUGGCACAAAAAAUUCAUCAUAAUCCAAUACUCCAUAAUCAAAAAACUCACAAUCCUUGAUUUCAAUGACUAUUAUAGUAAGAUUUCCAAUCUUAUGAGAUGAUAGAAUUCCAAGUUGAAAUAACCUACAUUUCAAUUGCAUGUCCAAAAAGGUUGGCAUUAUAACAAUGAAUGACUGACUGACUAAACUUUAAGUUUCCCAUCAGUUCCACGGUUCCAGUCCGGGAAUCAGCAUGCGACGAGGAGCACAAGACUGAGAGGCUCCGAAGCACAAGAGCAAGCAGAGGCCGUCGGCCCGCCCAAAUUCGACGCUCGCGCGCUUUCUUCGCCAUCAAUUCAAAGCGAGGUGUUCCAUCCCCCGUCGCAAUCGUGAUGUAGCUGGUGGCCUCUCGGAGAGCAAUGCCGCGAUGGGCAAUGAGGGAGCGACGGAAAGAGACGAAUGAAGGCAAGAAUUAAAAGGAGCGGGAUAGGGAAAUGGUCCCCGCAUCGCCGAAGCCUUGCUAACGAAUUCUAUGCCGCGGCCUCGUCGGAAUCUGAUGGCAUUCAACGGCGCACUUCUCACGUCGAUUUGAGCCAUCGCGCUGCCUUCCGGCUGCGGGGAACAGCAGGAGGAUUAGGAGGAGGAGGAGUUAGAAGAGCCUCCAAUCAGUCGUUUCCCCUGUGCGCUGGAACGCCGCAGUUUGAAUUUCGGCUGAUUUCGGUAGAGGCGUGAGAGGGGAUGGUGGUGCUGACGCGGUGCUAUGGAGAACGAAGGUGAGGGAUUGUUGAAGGGGAGUAAAUGCGGAGCUGCAAGCGUGAGCGAUUCAUGUAGGAGAGGCCGCAGUAUGUGUGUGUGUGUGAGAGAGAGAGAUGGAGAGAGUUUUUGUGAGAUGAAUUUGGCGAGCGGAGAUCCCGUGGUCACAACCGGGCUGUCGCGUUCCUGAGUCCUGAUUUCUGUAAUUUAUGAGCUCGAUAAGGAGGCGUCUGUCGGGCCUGGAGUUUUAGUGUCGUGCUGAGUAUUCAGAUAAUCGUAGCAUUGUCGUGGUUUAAAUAUGGGAGCGGAAUGCAGAAGAUUGUUAUAAUUUUUCCCACUGGGCUAACGCUUGGUUUGGUUUCUUUGUACCGCGUGUUUUUAGUGACUGUUAGUUUUGGAAUUGGUGGUAGUUGCUGUCGUGUUGCUAGUUUUUUGUAUUUCCUUUUAAUUUUGCAAUGAGCAUUAUAAUCAAAUUUUAUAACAAAGUUAUGUAUAUUAAUCGUUUUGUAGAGAGCACAGACUUUUGAGUGCCUUUUUCGAGUAAUUCGAAGUCGGGGGCUGCGAUUGUGAGUGGAACGAGCUUCGAUUCUCGAUCAUCGAAAAAUUUCACGAAGCAGAUGACGGUAUUGCGAGUUGUUCAGUUGGAUGAUGCGCGCAUGUGUACAAUUUGUCGGGUCAAGAGGAUACUGGUGACGCUACGUUAGAUCGAGGCCUGAAACACGCGUGCCGCGAAAUGGACACCUUCCUAGCGAAGAUUGAGGAGUUGAAGAGAGAGGCUGAACGUUUGAAGCAUACUUGCCGAUGUGUGAGUACUACACCCACCGGGAUCAACAAAAAAACAAAAAGAAAUAUUAUCAGCUAUAAUAAUGAUAACAAUGGUAUUAUUGCCAGCCCCGGGGGGCUGUUCUCGAACGGCAUCACUUCCUCACCUUGUAAUAUUCCAGGCUACAAGGUGAUAGUCUUUCAUUACACUGUUCAUACUAAUCGAUUCAAACAUAUUUUCAGCACGGAUCGAGGGAAUUAAUCACACGUUUUGGGCCAACUUACAAACAAAACACGUAAUUCCAUUUAAUUGCUGUGGUCGUAGUCCUCACUUAGUGGCACUCUCAAGGAGGUUUGACUUGCAUCAAGUGCAGUCUGCACCCAUGCACUGUUUUGCAUUGGUUCCUUUCCAUCUGGCCUGCUCUUUUAUCCCUUAGUACGUACAAUUUAAAGGAAUUGUACAUGAAAGUUUGAUAUGCGGAAUUUGGAACAGUUGGAUUUUGAAGGGCCUGGAGGAGAUGGUGACUGGGUGACAGCAUUUAAGGCAGAUGCUGGGCCAUGGUCAGGUGAACGGCUUGUGGUUCUCAGUCUAUUUGAUGGACUUGGCGGAAUUUGGCAAGCGCUGACCAAUCUAGGCAUCCCGUUCAGUGGUUACAGUUCUGAAGUGGUAAGCAUAAAACCCUCUCUUCAAAAGAUAGCAUGCCAUCUUCAGAGAGAAUGUCUCUAGGAUUUGAUCUACGCUCAAAGGAUUGAAUGUCACGUUCACCUCGUGCAGAAGCUUUGUCAAUGAGAACUGCGAAAUUCUUAUUCGGAUAAACUUUUGGCUAUGAUGUUUUUUCAUUGGAACGCGGUCACCAAUUGCGUAGAUGUCUUGAUAGGAGCGACUAUGACGGUCACACCGUGAGCUAUUCAUUGAAUUACCUGGAGCUUACACUUUUCUUGUGAUUUCGUUCGUCGCUGAUGGUAAUUGAUGCGUGGGGUGUUCUGUCAAAGUUGGCGCCAGCAAUACAAGUUGUGAAAUCCCGGCAUCCCCACGUCAAGCAUGUGGGCGAUGUUAGGAAGUUGAAUCUGUCUGCCAUACCUGAGAAGGUGGAUCUUGUAGUUGGCGGCUUUCCAUGUCAGGAUCUAAGUAUUAUGGGAAAGAAAGAAGGGUGAGGCUUACAAAUUGAGAUUGCGUAUUUUUUCACUGUUCUUUGAAACAUAUGCCGGAUAAUCUUACAAUUGUCUUGAUAUUUGCGUAUACAGUUCAGUAUUUCGGAUCAUGCCCGACGGUUGUUGGAUGGUCGUAGUGAGUGAAGCGUAGCUUUAGAAAUCUGCGUUUCGGAAUGACCCUUCUCAGUCGGAGUGCGUUUAGGCGGCAUGCUGGAGUUGUGAGUCAGUCUGUGGCUGUUUGCUAAGAUAUGUACCGUAGAAUUAAUCUGGAGUAUGGUUGAUUUCAGGGGUAUUGGUGAUAGCUUCCUAUUACUACUGUUAUAAUUUAAAUGAUUUUUUUUUUUUUUUUUUCUGCCAGGCUUCAUGGAAGUAGAAGCAAACUCUUCUUCGACCUUCUUCGUGUUUUACAGAUUUUCAAACCAAAAUGGUAUUCUAUCGCAACAUUUCACUGGGGGAAGUCUAGGUUAAUUUUAUUGUCUCGAGGCACAACUUGGUCUAACUGUGUCGGGCGCCACUCUCGUGUACAGCUAUCAUGGUGAAGCGUGACAUGAUCGUUCAAUGUUUGUUGUCAGGGGGACUAGCGAGGAUUUUCAAUGAAGGUAGACGAUUGUAAUGUCCAUUUGUACAUGGCCCGAUCUCAAUGGUGUUUCUUCACCUCCAUUUUCGGUCGCAGGUUCUUAGUGGAGAAUGUUGCAUCGAUGUCUUGGGUUGACCGAGAGGAAAUUACUAGGCAUCUGAAAGUGGUUCCCAUGGAGCUUGAUUCUCAAGAGAUCACGGCAAGUAAACGUCGUCGUUUGUACUGGACAAAUAUUCCUCAUCCUCCACGGCUGCCUCGCUUACGUGAUCAUCCAUCCACAUCCCUCCAAAGCUGCCUUGAGGGUGCACUUGCACUAGAACAGAAAUGCGGGGUAAGUCCUUGAUAUCUGGAUCGAAUCGCUUACUUUGUUGAUCGUUACAUGUUUUUGCUGAAUUCAGUUACUGACUUAGUUGGAGUGCUCAGGUUGUCCUCUGCAACAACCUUUAUAAAGGUGGUGGCGCUAGACUGGAACUCGUCUUGGAUAAUACAAUCAAUAAACUCCGUUACAUCAAACAGACGGAGAUUGAGUUGCUCAUGGGGUAUCCCAGGAAUUACACUAACGUUGUGGUACGAAGAACCAAGAUAACAGAAAAAAUUAUAAAAGCCGUACGGAUACCAGAGUAAGACAGCCAAGGAUGGCCCGAGCUCUAUGUCGUAUUGUUGUCUCAAUCGCAUGUGUUUGAGUUGGCCCUUUUUUGUAGAACUAUUUGUUAGCUAGAUUUGUUGCCUGCCAAUGUGCCCUUUUGUUCAACCAGGAUGUUAACAGGUGUUUGUUAUUUGAUAGCACAACAUAACAUAUAGAGCCGUUGUCUCAGACAUAAAGAGUUCUGGAAGAGAGCCUGAAACGUGCUGUAUUAUUGUUCUCCUUAUUAUUGAUUCACAGCAGCUUUACUUCCAGAGCCCAUUAUAUAAUCGGGUUAAUGUUCUCAGGAAACCUACGGUUGCUCUGCCUAAAUCAAGCCCUCCACAAACUCCGUCAAUAAGACAGCUGCGCAAGAACAGGACGUCGCGGACUUUUUUUGCACCACAAGUUUGGGAGAGAAAUCCAACUAGGCAGGAAAGCCUUAAGGACCUGGAUAGGUGGUUUCUACUUGGAAAUAGCUUUUCGGUAAGAUUCAUCUUUCAAUCCUUUUUGGACUCUCACAAUAAAUCAGCUUUUGUAACUGAUAAUGUAGUCUCAGAAGCAUCAAAUCUUCUCCUUUUCACAAUUUAUGGAAUUUGGAAUAAUGUCGUCGUGGGAAUUUCAGGUGCAAGUAAUUACGUACCUCACGAGCUCCUUGCUGAAAUCUGAAGUUCGUUUUCAUGGAAAAGCAGUGAAUAUUGUCGGCUCAGUGAGGGAGGAGGAGUUGUCUGCUAUGGAACCUGGUGAUGUAUGCUCCUUUUCUUUCAUGUGUGAUUAAUGCCCUCCUCUUGGUAUAUUUUGAACAUGUGCUCAAACAGGUGACUUUUCCUUGUCAUAGUGCAAUCUUGUCUCUCUUGCAUAAUGGUUCCUGUUUCUAUAUCGAUUGUUGUACAACUGGAAUUAAUGAGCUAUCGCAACAUGGUGUUUUACCAUUGGCUAUUACACAACUAAUACGAUCUUGACCUAAUAACCAUGUGACCAUUGCUUGUUGGUAGGUAUGGGCUUUAUUCAAUGAGCAUGGGCGACCAAACUGGUACGCCGUCAUUCAGUCGCGAACUGGGGACAGAUUCUCUGAAAUUCCGGAUGCUACCGGAAAACGGAGUAUCACAAAGCUGCCGCUCAGCAUUGAAAUGUGAGAUUUUGUUGUCUACAAACGUUUUAGUUUAUGCUCUUCCCUUUUAACGAUUGAUAAUUCACUUUUUAAUCUUGUUCAGCAUGCUAGCUCUCUUGAAGUAUCCGAAUGCCUUCACUAUGUUUAGUAAUCGGUUUUUUUGAUGAUUUGUCUUUAAGAUGAUGCCGUAGUAUUUUCUACAAAUUGCAGGAAAUAUCUGGAAAUGACGCCUGCUUAUGCCAAGGACGAAGUAGAUGAGUGGAAUCCACAGCGAGGUUCUGGUUUACUGAAGCUACGUGACGUAGUAGAUAUUCAAGACAAUUGGCAAGCAUUUUCUCACAGGUGCACACAUCAUUUUCUUUUCCAACAAUGUUGGAUCGAUGCCAAGUACCUUUUAUGCACCAAAUCUAAUUCUUGUCUCUCUGACAUUGUACAAAUUCUUGAUGAAUCUUAUGCUGUUUAAUCAACCUCUUAAAAUACAUGAAGUUACAAGGUUGAUGAAAUUCCAUGAAGUCCUAAAAGGACGUGAAUACGAGUGGAAUUCUCCGACCACCAAACAUAGAUGGAGACCUAUUCCCACUACUGAAUAUUUUUAAUUGCAUAUUGGGGGUUGUUGGGUUCUUCAAACCAGGGUGACGAGCUAUGUGAAAUUCGAAAACUCUUAUUUUGUGUACCCAGGAAACGACGAGGUUUGGGCUGUUUAUCAUGCCGAAACUUUGAGUCGUUAUUUUGUGGUAAGUUUAUUACUUGAAAUAGGAUAUCGUCUGACUCUGAACUAGAAUGUUCAUUCGAUACGUGGAAAAUCUUUGGCUGUCGUGAAUAGUAUGUAGAACAGAGUCAAUGAUGCAGUCAGAAGUGCAACACUCUGCUCGAAGAAAACACUCAUAUCUUGGACUUAUAUGAUGCUUUGGGAGCCGCGACACUAUAUUUACAGGGAAUACUGGCAUGAUCGGCACAAGAUUGUUACUAUUAAUUUUCCUGUUCAAAUUAUCAUGGAUGUUCUGGUGUUUCCAAGACCUCGAAUUCAUACUGAUAUGAUGUGUGUUGGCAGUAUGUGGUAGAAAGCACGAUUAUUUGCGCCAGAUUACUUAAUGACAAACCGGGACAAGAUGAAGGAUUUCUCGCACGAUGCUUGCUUUUGCAAAAAACUACAGAACACGAAGUUUACCUGUAUGAUUUCUUAUCUGUAUUGUACAUCAUUUCUUAUAACUAAAAUUCAUGUUUUCAUAAGUAUCUGUGUUUCAGUUGUAGCUUCAGACAUUGGUCAUUUCAAUACCUAUUUUUUCAUGUUCUACAAGGUUCAUGGUCCAGUUCUGUAAUUUCGUGUAAAUGGGUGUUAGGAUUGGGCUCGUACAAAGCACCAGUCACUGAUUUUUGCACCGCUCUCUGAAUAUUCUGUGUUUUAUAAAUGUGACCAGAAAAACUUCUAAAGAGGUGGAGCUUAGUGAUAUCCAACCCUUCUGCUUUAGAGUGCCGUUUCAUAUCAAGAACGAGGCAAAUCUGUUGAAAGUGGAGGUAUCUGGUGUCAAGAGCCGACAAAGCAUGAAAGCCGACAGAGAAACGACUGCAGGGUAUAAGAGAAGGAAGCAGGGCCAAGGUGAAUCAGAUGAUGAUGACGACCUUGAUGAUGUUGACAACAACUCCCCUGAAGACGUUAAUGCUGAUGGUACCACUGCAGAGGAAAUGUUGGCUGAAGAUGAAGCCAUAGAGGUCAUGAAUGGGGGUUUGGAGGUGGUCGUGGCCCUUCCUGACGAUAUUGGUGAUACGAAUGGAGGGACACACUGAGACCUAUCAGAAAUGAGCUUUGUACAAGUAAAUGAUGUUUCCACUUAGGAAACCUGCAGCACUCCGGAAAUCGGAGUAAAAGAUGCCACUAAGGUUAGAAAUCAAUUGCACAUCAAAUAAUCUCGAUUCGAAGUUGGAUUUCUAAACCACCAUGCCUACGUCAAAGAAACUCACAUCUCUGAAAUCUCACGAGGGUGGGCACAUCGGAGGAUACAGUUUCCAGCUCUUUUCUGUACGUAAACCAGGAAUUUGACAAUUGACUGCAUUUUUCAAAUUUUGUUGCCGUGGAGCUUGUGAUGAAGUUGCGCGCUAUGUUCCUCUAGCUGCUAGAAACCGACUUCUUUCAAAUAGGUGAUAGAGAUGACUUUCUGUACAGAAUUUGCAACUGUACCCUUCACGUUUCAUGUUGCUCUUGGUCAGAAAAAACACAUAAGUUCAUGGGUAAAUUCCACCGUUAGAGCCAAACUAUACUCUCUUACAUUUUUCCAUGUCAUUCACGGAUAUUUUUCUAGCUGUUUCAAAACUGUCUUUGAGUUGGUAGCGGGAGGAGGAUCGAGUUAUUUUACUUCAACUCAGAUAAAGUCGAAGGUUUACCUCAAACAAAUCAAAAUUUUCAUUUCAAUGAUAUUAUUAUUUUGGUGAAAUUUCUGGUUACAAUAAAAAAACGUGGAGAGUUCUAAUAAUGCCUUUACCUAACUAACUACUCAACUAACUAACUAACUAACUAACUAACUAACUGUAUAUAUAUAUAUAUAUAUAUAUAUAUAUGCACAUACUCUCUUACACAAUUAAAUGGACUAUAGGAUUUCUGAAGUGUUUGAUGAAAAAAAAUAUUUAAUGUAUUAUGGAUUCUGUUAAUGUUAUUUAAAAACAUGUGUUAUGUUUUUAUCUACUUCUUUUAUUCUUGUUCUUUUUUAUCUUUGCCAGUAUUAUAACUUUGAAAGUAUAAAUUUUAAAUUUAUUCUUUUAAAAUUCUUUCAAAAUUUGAAAGUUGUCUAUCAUUAAGCAUUAAUGAUCCAUAAUAAUCUUGAACUACUAAAACAUCUCAUGUUGUUUCUAAGUUUGGAUACAUGAAAUCUAAAAGGUUAGUGGUUCAAUUUGCAAAAGCAAAAUUUCAACUAUAUUCAAUAAAAUCUUAUAAAAUAUUUAUACUUAGGUCAAAUAAAUUUUAAAAAUAAUUUAUUUAAUUAAUUAUUCAUAUUUUAAAUUUCAUAAUAACUAUUUUUUGUAAAAUUAUAGAAGUAUAAUUAUAAUAAGAAUAGAAAUAUAAAAAUAAAAACUAUGAUAAAUUGUUGUUAUGAAGAAUCAAGUUAUAAUAAAGAUUAAAUAAAAUACUUGUAUUUUAUAAGUAAACUUUGAAUUAUAAUUAAAUUUAUAAAGUAAUUUAUUUAUCUUAAAAAUAAAUAGCUUUAUAUUUAAUUUAUUAUUUUCAUAAUAUAUUUAAGAAUUGAUAAUAAUCUUUUAUAUUUAUUAUCAAUUAUGAUUUAUUUUUAAUUUUAAAAUAUUAAAUUGACCUACCUUUACGAUUCUUUAAAUUGACCUAUCUUUGAUCUUACCAUCUUAUAUUACAUCAUAUAUUUUUCACUAAUCCAAAGAAGGUUAUCUUUGAUUCAUAAUGAAUUUGUCUUUAACAUCUAUGAAAUAGAUUUUAAAGCCAACCUUACAUGUGUGCAUUGAAAUCAUUCCAAUCUGUCCAUAUAAUAAAUUAUAAUAUUAUCACAAACAUACAUAUUGAUUCCAAUAAUUACUUAGAUAAUAUAAAUAGAUAAAAGUAAGUAAAAGUAGAUUAAUUUGAUAAUAUCUUAUAAAAAAAACUUCUUAGAAGCUUCAUAGAUGUGAUUUCAUCUUUAUAUGUAUCUAUAGGUAAUUGAUAAGUUAGAAACUUUGCCAACAAGUUAGCUAUGUGUCACAUGUAUUGGUAGCUUGUGGUACAAGCUAAUCAUGUAGUACAAAUAUAAAAAACUUGCCUUGCAAGCUAAGUGUUAUUCUUGUUGUAUUCAAGCUUCAGUAUACCAAAGCAAUUGAACUAAUAGAGGUAGGUUCGAACAUGGAGAAAGACUGAUUAUAUGAAUUGGAUCUGUUAGUGUCACAAUUGACUGUAUUCUGGCUUUCUAAAAUCCAGUAUCAAACUACAAAACACCGAGGCUUACUACUUCCAUCUUAAUUCAACCCAUAAUCCAUUCUAUGAUUAACAAUUUAAUAAUACUUCUUUCAAUCACAAUUUUUCAUAAGCAAAUAAUAAAAAAAAACAAAGAGGUAGUACCAAGCAUACCUCGGCUUACGACUCUCACAGUCUGGCUCUCGGCUUACUUUUCUCAACCUAUUUAUCCUACCAAAAAGAUGAUCCAUCAGCCAACGGAUUUCAAAAGUUAUGACCUUUUGAAUUCGUAACCAUUUAUUCCACUAAUAACCUACUAUUACUAAGUAAACUGCCUAACCAUAAGUCUAAUUCUCAAGGUUGUCAAUAAUCAACUAGUAACUUACCACAAAGUUUAUUUACCUAUUCUACAUAGCCCCACUCCUAAUUAUGCAGCAUCAUCGUAAAUAUUAUUUAGCCUCAACUUAUAAAGACGUAGCAGCGUUGGCUUCUUCAGUCAAUGGCGUUGGCUUACCACCUUUUGAAAUGGUGACCUUCUCAUCUUUACAUCUUCAUCGUCUACCUCGGUGUUCAAUGGUUCUCCAUCCAAACACGCCAUCAGAUCUUCAUUCAACAAACUCAAUUCCCAUACCUAAAACUCACGUCGGGCAAUUUGAUUGUCACGCUCCUCCAACAUCUUCUGCCAUUCUUCUGUCGGUUUCAAAGGUAUCUCCGAAGGCAUUAUCGCUGAAAUUGGUAUAUUCGUCCGCACUAAAUUAUUGGCCUCCUUCUCUAAUGCAACCAAUUGAGUCUACAACAUCACAACCUCUACCUGCAACCACUCUUGCUGUUCCUUCCAAUCGGUCUCCAUCCUUACUUUCUCAGAUACCAUGUUCGCCAUCUUCUCCUUAACCACAAAAGAAAACACAAUGCUUGUCAAGAGCCCCCCUCUUACUUCUUACUACGGUCCAAUCAAUUGAGUCGACUCCCUCUUUUGUAACAAAAAAUCCGUCCUUAGUUUAUGUAUAGUAAAGUUUAAGCCAAUUGCCAUUGAUCCGUGUCGUAAAUUUAGUACCCAUAAAAUCUUCCAAUUGUACCGAACCAUUUGGAAAUCCGUCAAUAACUUGAUAUGGCCCAUGCCAUUGAACUUGAAAUUUUUCUGAUUUUUUUUUUAAAUUGAUUAUCGUAAAGAAGUACCAAAUCAUUUGGUAUAAAAACCUUUGGUCUAAGCUUACUAUCAUAAUAAAUCUUCUUUUGUUUUUGUGUAGUUUCCAUUAUCAUUAAUGCAUUGGCUCUAAUUUCAUCUAAUUUUUUCAAUUCUUUUAAACGGUGCCGUAAUGAAUCUUGAUCUCACAAUCUAUUAUCUAUAGCAAUUCGUAAACUUUGGACUUCCAAUUCAAUAGGUAAGAUUGCUUCUUGGCCAUAAACCAAUUGGAAAGGGGUAGCAUUGGUAGUAACUUUAUAUGCAGUACGGUAUGCCCAUAAAGCUGCAAACAACUUAGUGUCCCAAUCUGUUCCCGCUCCUGAAACUGCUUUUGUUAAGAUUUUACAUAAAAUUCUAUUAGUCUUUUUUGUUUGUCCAUUGGCUCUAGGAUAAUACGGUGUAGUCUUUCGAUGUUUUAUCUUGUAUUUAGCCAUGAGUGCUUCGAUUGUACUAUUUAUGAAAUGAGUUCUUCAAUCACUAACAAAUUCUUGUGGACAACCAAACCGUAUAAUAAUAUUUUCAUACAAAAAGGUUGCUACUAUACUUGCACUAUCGGUUUUUAUAGCUAUGGUUUCAGCCCAUUUUGUUACGUAAUCCAUUGCUACCAAUAUAUACCAUUUUUGUCCAUUUCUCGAGGCUGGUACAAUUGGUCUCAAAAAAUCAAUUCCCCAUUUUUCAAAAGGCGCUUCAGCCAAAAUUGGUACCAAUGGCAUUGUUGAAGUUCUAGUAGGUCGACCCAUUCUCUGACAUGGGUCACAAUGAUGGAUGAAUUGGUGGGCAUCUCCAAAUAUUAAGCCACCAAUAACUAGCAUAUAAAGCUUUACGAGCUGUGCUUUCCCCCGCAAAAUGUCGACUACAACUGUCUAAGUGGCAACCUUCCAAUAUAGUAUGCACUUCAGUCUGAUAAAUAUAGUAUUGCAAAACUCCAUCCUUGCCUUGUUUAUAUAAAGCUUCAUCAAUCAUCGUAUAAGGUGCACAUUUUAAUAUUAAGCAUCAUUUAAGCUUUUCAUUAAAAUUAGGUGGAAAGGUUUGAAAUGUCAAGUAUUGAAUUAUUUCACUAUACUAUGGAGUAAUUACAUCUACUGCAAACAGUCCCGCAUCAGGUAGUGCAUCGUUAAUGGGUUCAUUACCUAAUAUAUUGGAUAAUUGAGAUAAAUGGUCCACAUUGAAAUGUGAUUUUUCUAGUCUUACCUGAAUAAUAAAGUCAAAUUCUUACAAGAGUAGAACCCAUCAUGCAAUACGACCAUUCAAUUGAGGCUUAUUAAUCAUAUAUUUUAAAGCAUCAUGGUCGACAUGGAAAAUAAAUUUAUAACCAAGAAGAUAAUGUCGAAACUUUUGUACGGAAUAAAUCAUUCUCAAUGCUUCUCUUUCGGUUGUUGUAUAAUUUCUUUCCGCUGCUACCAAUUGAUGAUAAGCAUAAUAAAUAGGGUGAUCAAAACCCCGGUCAUCUUUCUGGCUUAGCACAGAACCAAUUGCGACAUUAAAUGCAUCUACAUAAACUUGGAAUGGUUUUGUCUAACAAGGUGCCACCAAUAUUGAUGCUGAAACCAAUUUCUGUUUCAAUGUUUCGAAUGCAAUUGUACAUUCUUUUGUCCAAAAUGGACUGAUUCCAUCGGUUGGUGGUUUCUUCAAGAGAUUUGUUAAGGGAAGGCAUAUAGCUACGAAUAGAUAGAUAAAUCACCGAUAAUAACUGACAUGGCUGACAAAUGCUAGAACACCCGUAAUAGUGUCUGGUUGCUUUAAUUCUACUAUAAUCUUUUUUUUAUCCGGAUCUGUAGUAAUGCCUGCCAUCAAAACUAUAUGACCCAAUAAUUUACCAGAAGACACACCAAAUUGGUAUUUUUUUGAAUUUAAAGAAAUUCCAUAUUUGGCACAUUGAUUCAAAUAUUGACCAAGACAUUCUAAGUGACAGGCUCUAAUACUAAAUGUACAGAAAUCAUCUAGAAAUAUUUCCAUUGAAAUUCGUAGAUAAUCUUGGAAUGAUUAUGUCAUUACCCUUUGAAAUGUAGCUAGUGCAUUACAAAGCCCAAAUGGCAUAACCUUAUAGGCAAAGGUCCCCCAAUCCGUAGUAAAAAUAAUUUUUAACUAGUCUUCUUUUACAAUCUUAACUUGAUUAUAACUGAAGAAUCCAUCAAGAAAUGAAUAACAUUCAUGUUUAGUAAUGGCAUUUAAUAUACUAUCCAUAAAUGAUAAAAGAAAAUAAUCCUUCUUGGUAGUCGCAUUUAAUUUUCAGAAAUCUUGACAGAUGCAUCAUUCUUCUUGCAUCUCCAUCUGGCAUAUUGGGUGUCUCCACCGGUACAUACCUACUAGGCUUGUUCCAUGUAGGGUUAGAAAAUGAUCCUAGUUGUCUCAUUGGUAUGGAGGGUACUUGGUUUGAUGACGCCGAUGGAGCAUAUUGCUAAUACCUCUGCUGCUCCUUCCUGUAGUUCUGAGGGUUUGAUGUAGACCCCUGAUUAAAAUUGGAACUUUAAAAAUUAUUGAAUGUUUGAUUUUGUUGAUUAGAUCGAUUUCCAUUUCAUCCAUACGUACUUCCCGUUUGAACUUGAUUGACUUUCCAUUGAGUCAGUGGAAUCAUGUUCUGAUUACUGAAUUAUUGUUGCCUUUGUAAAUGCCAGCAGUUUUGGAUAGGGUGCUUUCCUCCGCAAAAUGUACAUUGAACACCCGUUUGUCUGGGUGAUGGACAUUCCGUAUCAAAGUGACCUGGUUCCUUACAAUUAUUAUACCAUACAUUAGGUCUCGUAUUAGAAGGCUUAUAUUGUUUCUCUUUAUCUUUAACCAAAUUCACAGCCAAUUCUUCCAUCAUCUUUGUUAGAUUUAAUAACAAGGCCUCAUUUGGAUCUUUAACAACUGCAUUUGUAAACAACUCUGAUUGUUGAUAGGUUGGCAAUGUAAAAUAAGGUAUCAUCGUUAUUGGCGCUAUUGCUUGGAAUGGUGUAGCAUUAAUUGGUUGUUGCAACAUAACAUUCUUCACAUUGGAAGCAACCAUUUGUGGAUAAUUAUCCAUCGAUACAUUUCUCGGUUGUAUUUGUUGGCUUCCUAAACUUGGAAUCAUUGUGGCCCCUACUGUUAACAAUUGGUCAUAAUGACAUUCUUUCCACACCUUUACUUGUGCCAAUGAUGCCUCUACCAUAGCUGGUCGAGCCUCUUUUACAAACAUUUUUAAUUCUAGUGGAUGCAAACCGUUAAUUAAUAUCGACAAUAUAAACGCAUCUAGCAUUUGAUUAUUUGACCAUUUACAAAGUAUAUCCGUGAUCUCACCAUAAUAGGACUCUACGAAUUUCUCUGCAAAUAUCUUUCUAUUCAUAAAACUUUCUCGAAGCCGAUCUUCAAAUCCAAUUGGUCUAAAAUGGGUUAAGAAGGCAUUCCUCAAGGCUUCCCAAUUGAGAAAUCUAUCCACUGAUUGUCGAAUAUACCAUUCAAAAGUUGUAUCUUUUAAAGUUGCUGGCAACCAUUUCAACCAAAUGUCUUCAGUUCUACCAUUAUUAGCUACGUAGGUUGUCAAGAAUUGAGAUAUAUGGUGAUCGGGAUCAGAGCCCUGCCAACCACUAAAAGUAGGUAAUGGUGCCUCACUUGUAGUUCGGUCUCCUACUACUCACAUUUGUAUUGCAAUUGGUACUUUUGGCACUCCUGCGACCAUUGGUGUUAUCAUUGGUCUCCUUACUAUUUGAAUCUGAAUUUUUCUUCCUUUGGUUUUUCUUGGACCUGCAAUUUCUUUUUGUCAUUCUUGUAGGAUAUUUCUUAUGCGUAAUUAUUCAUAUCUUUCUUUUGCUUGUCGAUUAAUUCUUUGAUAAUCCUCUCUCUCAUGAUUAUCACUCAUAAUCUUUCAUUCUUCUUUACAAAAUCAAUACUCCCUUGAAUUAUAACUCACAUAUUUGUAACUCUAAAACUGGUUCUUCUCACGUUCUCAUUCAACAUAUAAUUCCAUCUCCUAUACAAUCAAUUUCUAAAAUUUCAUAUUGUUAUCAUUUCCUUGGCAGCGACGCCAAAAUGUUGUUCUUGUUGUGUUCAAGCUUCAGUAUACCAAAGCAAUUGAAGUAAUAGAAGUGGGUUCGAACAUGGAAAAAGACUAGUUAUAUGAAUUGGGUCUGUUAGUGUCACAAUUGAUUGUAUUUUGGCUAUCUAAAAUCAAGUAUCAAAGUACAAAACACCGAGGCUUACUACUUCCAUCUUAAUUCAAUCCAUAAUUCAUUCUACGAUUAUCAAUUCAAUAAUACUUCUCUCAAUUACAAUUCUUCAUAAGCAAAUAAUAAAGAAAACAAAGAGGUAGCACCAAACUUACCUUGGCUUAUGACUCUCACAGUUUGGCUCUCGGCUUACUUUCCUCAACCUAUUUAUCCUAUCAAAAAGAUGAUCCAUCAGCCAGCAAAUUCUAAAGGUUAUGAUCCUUUGAAUUUAUAACUAUUUAUUCCACUAACAACCUAUUAUUACCAACUAAACUGCCUAACUAUAAGUCUAAUUCUCAAGGUAGUCAAUAACCAACUAGUAAUUUACCACAAAGUUUAUUUACCUAUUCUUCACUAAAAUACAUGUCUUACAAAUUUGAUACAUGCUGGAGGUCCUACAGAAUAUUAUUAUGUAGUUCUUAAGUAGAUAGUGUAUAUAGAAGCAAGAGUGAAGUCCUCUUUCUUCUUAUUAAUUUCUUUUUUGGUUCUAGUUUGGUUUCAAAGGUCUUUAGUUUUCUUGUCUUUUGACAAUAACCAUUAUAAUUUCUACUUGAUAUACAUACUUUUUUAUUUCUAUUUUGUCAUCUUUCUUUGAAAAAUUUUCUCUUGUUUAUUUACGUUUAUUAAGUUCUUGUCCUUGACAAAUUGAUGAGAACACACUUAUAAUAUCAAAGCUUUUUAAUUAAAAAAAGACAUAAGACAUAAGUAUAUUGGAAGUUGCACAUUAUUCUCUUCUAAGUUGAUAUUAUUUUUAGUAUUUUCUUUCUUUUUAAGUCAUUUCUUCUAUUUGUCUUAAGUUAUAUUAUUAUUAUUUUUUUCUAAUAUUAUCAUGGUAGAGUUUGUUGAAAUAAAGAGUGCAAUGGCAUAAAUGUAAGUGCAAUUGAUGAACUUAAUGCUUGUCAUACACCAAUUCAAUUUACCACUGUAAGGAGCAACAAGAUUGAUAAAAGUAAAGAUAUAGAGAAUAUUGGAGCUGCUUCAACAUUUGCACCAAAUCAUAUUACUUCUCCUAUAGUAAAAAAUCAUUCAAGCAAUAAAAAAUGAAGAGUUGCCAUGCCCAAGAAGUUUGAUGGUAUAAGAUUAAAGUUUUGAAAAUUCAUCAAUCAAGUAUAGUUAGUGAUUAAAAUUCAAUCCUAAUACUAGAUAAUAUAUAUAGAGAUAAGAAUGAAGCCUUCUUUACUCUUUUCAAUUUCUUUCUUGCUUCUAAUCUAGAUUUAACAAUCUCUAAUUUCCAUGUCUUUUAGCAAUAGCCAUUUCGAUUUUUUUUUAAUAUACAUACUAUAUUAUUACUCUUUUAUCACUUUCUUUUAUUAUAGAUUUUCUAGAUUUAUGCAUCUUCUUCUAAUUCAUGUUCUUGAUAGAUUGAUAAGAGUACACUUAUAAUAUUAAAACUUUAUUUUUUCUUAAUUAAGAGUAGAUUACACUUUUUUUUGAUAAGACAUAAGUGUAUUAGAAGUUGUGGAUUACCUUCUUUUAAAUUAAUAUUAUUCUUAAUAUCAUCUUUGUUUUCAAGUCCCUCUUUUUUUUAUCUUGAGUAAUAUUAGAUAUUUAUUUUCUAAGUAUCAUCAUGGCACAACUUAUUGAAAUAAAGAGUAUAAUGGUACAAAUGUAAGAGCAAUUGAAAGAGUUAAUGCUUGCAAUGCAUCAACUCAGUUUAUUACCACAAGGAGUUACAAGAAUGGCAGGAAGUGAUGAUAUAGAUAUGAUUGAAGUUGCUUCAACAACUGCAUCCAAUCAUGCCCCUUUUCCUAUGGUAGAACAUCCUUUCAAUGCUAGAGAACUAAGAAUAGCCUUGCUUGAGAAGUUUGAUGGCACAAGAUUCAAGUUUUGAAGAUUUAUCAAUCAAGUACAACUUGUGAUUGAACUUCAAUCCCAAAGCUAUCCAAUUCCAAGAUCACAAUUUAGAUUCAUUGAUAUAUUACUUUCAAGUUCUUCAUUAUUGUGGUUUUUAUCUUUUCUUGAACAACGAGUUCAAAUAUUAAAUAAUUUGGAGGCUUUUUUAAGAGAAUUUUGAUCCAUGUAUGGAGAAAAUGAUGGAACUCAUGUUGUAACUAACAAGAUCCAUAUUUUACAAUAAAGAAAUCAAUCUGUAAUAUUAUAUGAUUCACAAUUUUGAUAACUUGUAACUGAUAUCAAGUAUAAUGAUACUAUACUUAUUAGCUAAUUUCUCUAUGGAUUAUAAUAUGAGGUAAAGAAAUUGAUGCUCAACUUAUCUGAUCCUCAAACAUUGAGUUAAGUAAUUGACUUUGUUGUAAGGUGUGACAAUCAAUUUUUAAAAUUUCGAUCUAAGAAUUGGACUUGUGGGCCUCAAUGUUACUAUAAUUCAAUGGCAAUACCAAUGCCUCUUUAAUACAAACAUUUAGAAGUAGAGAAUAUGUAAAUUAAUAUAAUACAUUCAAACCUCUUAUUGAGCAAGAAAAGACUCGUUGCCAUCAAAAAGAAUUAUACCUAUAUUAUGUAUACUACUCAAUAUUAUCCAAAGAAGCGACACAAUUAUAAAAUGAGGAGUAUAAAUGUCAAAGAAGAUAAUAUAUCAAAAAAUAAGUUUGACCAGCUAUAAUAGGGACAAUUGUGGUAAGAUGUGGCAUUUAGCUUGAGAAUGCAUUGGAUACCUGACUGUGGAAGUGUAGAAUAGGUAAAUAAACUUUGUAGUAACUUAUUAGUUGGUUAUUGACAACCUUAAGAAUUAGACAGAUGAUUAGGUAAUUUAGAUGGUAAUAGUAGGUUGUUAGUAGAAUAAAUAGUUAAGAAUUCAAAUGGUCAUAAUUUUUGGAAUCCAUUGGCCGACGGAUCAUCUUUUUGGUAGGAUAAAUAGGUUGAAGAAAGAGAGACCGAGAGCCAAAUUGUAAGAAUCAUAAGCCGAGAGCAAGACUUUGAGAGUCCUAACUUGAAAGCCAGAUUAUGAGAGUCGUAAGCCGAGAGCCAGACUGAGAGUCGUAAUCCAAGAGCCAGACUGUGAGAGUCGUAAGCCGAGAGCCAGACUGAGAGUCGUAAUCCAAGAGCCAGACUGUGAGAGUCAUAAGCCCAGGUAAGCUUGAUGCUACCUCUUUGUUUUCUUUAUUAUUUGCUUAUGAAGAAUUGUAAUUGAGAGAAGUAUUAUUGAAUUGAUAAUCGUAGAAUGAAUUAUGGAUUGAAUUAAGAUGGAAGUAGUAAGCCUCGGUGUUUUGUACUUUGAUACUUGAUUUUAGAUAGCCAAAAUACAAUCAAUUGUGACACUAACAGACCCAAUUCAUACAACCAGUCUUUUCCCAUGUUCGAACCCACUUCUAUUACUUCAAUUGCUUUGGUAUACUGAAGCUUGAACACAACAAGAACAACAUUUUGGCGUCGCUGCCGAGGAAAUGAUAACAAUAUGAAAUGUUAGAAAUUGAUUGUAUAGGAGAUGGAAUUAUAUGUUGAAUGAGAACGUGAGAAGAACCAGUUUUAGAGUUAUAAAUAUGUGAGUUAUAAUUCAAGGGAGUAUUGAUUUUGUAAAGAAGAAUGAAAGAUUAUGAGUGAUAAUCAUGAGAGAGAGGAUUAUCAAAGAAUUAAUCGACAAGCAAAAGAAAGAUAAGAACAAUUACGCAUAAGAAAUAUCCUACAAGAAUGACAAAAAGAAAUUGCAGGUCCAAGAAAAACCAAAGGAAGAAAAAUUCAGAUUCAAAUAGUAAGGAGACCAAUGAUAACACCAAUGGUCGCAGGAGUGCCAAAAGUACCAAUUGCAAUACAAAUGGGAGCAGUAGGAGACCGAACUACAAGUGAGGCAUCAUUACCUACUUUUAGUGGUUGGCAGGGCUCUGAUCCCGAUCACCAUAUAUCUCAAUUCUUGACAACCUACGUAGCUAAUAAUGGUAGAACUGAAGACAUUUGGUUGAAAUGGUUGCCAGCAACUUUAAAAGAUACAACUUUUGAAUGGUAUAUUCGGCAAUCAGUGGAUAGAUUUUUCAAUUGGGAAGCCUUGAGGAAUGCCUUCUUAACCCAUUUUAGACCAAUUGGAUUUGAAGAUCGGCUUCGAGAAAGUUUUAUGAAUAGAAAGAUAUUUGCAGAGAAAUUCAUAGAGUCCUAUUAUGGUGAGAUCACGGAUAUACUUUGUAAAUGGUCAAAUAAUCAAAUGCUAGAUGCAUUUAUAUUGUCGAUAUUAAUUAACGGUUUGCAUCCACUAGAAUUAAAAAUGUUUGUAAAAGAGGCUCGACCAGCUAUGGUAGAGGCAUCAUUGGCACAAGUAAAGGUGUGAAAAGAAUGUCAUUAUGACCAAUUGUUAAUAGUAAGGGCCACGAUGAUUCCAAGUUUAGGAAGCCAACAAAUACAACCGAGAAAUGUAUUGAUGGAUAAUUAUCCACAAAUUGCUGCCUCCAAUGUGAAGAAUGUUAUGUUGCAACAACCAAUUAAUGCUACACCAUUCCAAGCAAUAGCGUCUAUAAUGAUGAUACCUUAUUUUACAUUGCCAACCUAUCAAAAACCGGAGUUAUUCACAAAUGCAGUUGUUAAAGAUCCAAAUGAGGCCUUGUUAUUAAAUCUAACAAAGAAGAUGGAAGAAUUGGCCUUGAAUUUGGCUAAAGAUAAAGAAAAACAACAUAAGCCUUCUAAUACAAGACCUAAUGUAUGGUAUAAUAAUUGUAAGGGACCAGGUCACUUUGAUACGGAAUGUCCAUCACCCAGACAAACAGAUGUUUAAUGUACAUUUCGUGGAGGAAAGCAUCUUAUCCAAGAUUGCUGGCAUUUACAAAGGCAACAACAAUUCAGUAAUCAGAACAUGAUUCCACUGACUCAAUGGAAAGUCAAUCAAGUUCAAAUAAGAAAUAUGUAUGGAUGGAAUGGAAAUCGAUCUAAUCGACAAAAUCAAACAUUCAAUAACUUUUGAAGUUCCAAUUUUAAUUAGGGGUCUACAUCAAACCCUCAGAACUACGGAAAGGAGCAGCAGAGGUAUUAGCAAUAUGCUCCACCGGCGUCAUCGAACCAAGUACCCUCCAUACCAAUGGGACAACUAGGAUCAUUUUUUAAUCCUACAUGGAACAAGCCUAGUAGAUAUGUAUCGGUGGAGUCACCCAAUAUACCAGAUGGGGGUGCAAGAAGACCACUUUGUUGUUUCCGUUGUAGACAGAUUGGUCAUUAUGCCAGUGUAUGUCUCAAUCGCAGAGUCAGUGAUGAUUGUGUGCCAAUAUGUGUGAAUUACAAGCAGUCGGGAUAUACUUAUCAGCAAUGUAAUCCUCAGUUCAAUGUCAAUAAUCAAGAUCAGCAGAUCUAAAGCCAAGGAAAAAUGGAGGAGAUAAAUCGAGGUCCUCAAGAUUCACCAGUUCAUCAAGUAGAAGUAGUCCAAGUUAUCCUUACAAGAAGUCAGCAAAAGGAAAAAGGAUCAAUUCAACAUUUGGGUGAUCUUGAAGCGAAGGACUAAUUGGACCCAAUUACGGAGACAUCCAAUCUAGGUCCUGACAUGGGCCCCUUACUCAGUAUAAGACGUGAAUCGAUUGUGCACCCUAAUGAGGUACCAAUUACAGAGGCUUCGAUUCCAUGUCGAGCUAUUCUAUUCUCUAGACAGUUUUGGGAAACGUCCUUUCUAUUGAAAGCUUCUCUAAGAGGUGUGGAUUCCAAGGAACCAAUAUAUGGCCGAUUGGGAGAACAAUCUUAUUCGUUAAAAGAACUGAUUUUACAGGCUCAAUCAAAUUCAAUUCCAAGAGCUUUAUCAAUUUCGAAUAUAGAGAAAACUAAUUUACUUGCGUCGGUGUCUAGGACUGGGAAGAAGAAAUAGACAUUGGAAAUUACCACUAAUACAAAAUCAUAUGAUAUUCUAAAAGAUUUGAAGACUAUACAGUCCACAAUCUCUAUGAGCAACUAUUGGCGGUAGCACCUGAGUAUCAAACUAUCUUGAAUUCUUCAUUAAUUUAUCAUCGAUUUUAAUAUAAAGAAAUCCAAGAAGUAAGUUUAAAUCUUGAUCCGGGUGCACCUACAAUUGAUGUCUCAAUUGAUGGAGUGUUAUUAUCGAGAGUGUAAGUAGACGGAGGAUCUAGUAUAAAUCUUAUGAAUGCUGCUACAAUAGAGGAACUGGGUUUGGAUCACUCUUUGUCUACUACAGUGGUUUUGAGAAUGACUAACUCCAAUCGAGUUAAACCUAUGGAUAUUUUAUGAAGUAUUGAUACAAUAAUUGUGGGCAUUACCUACAAAAUUGAUUAUAUUAUUUUUUGAUUGCAAAGCUUUAUAUUAUCAUACCUAAUUUUAUUGGGGCAACCAUGGUAAUAUCAAGCUAAAGCUUGAAAUGAUUAGGGCCAUGGUACAUUGACAAUCGAGAAAGAUAAUGAUAAAAUUGUACUUCAAAUGUACUAUGUCGAAUAUCAUGGAGAAAGUCAAGUUACCAAUUCUGAAUUUACGUUGGAUUGUGAAGAUGAGUCUACAGAAGAAGAAAUUGGUACACCUGCCCCAAUUUAUGCUGAUACAAGAUAAGUUGUCAAGUACACUAGAAUGACCUACCAAUGCAGGGGACUAGGAGAGUACUUAGUUCCUCCAAAUGUUAUUGACAAUUCUGAUCAUAUGAUUGCAUAUUGGAUGAAUAGACGAGAUGUUAAACACUUUAGUGCUAUGGAACUGAAGUUGGAAAGUUUUCAUGUGUCAGUUUUUAUGAAAGAUUCUAGAAUUGAGCAGAACAUUAUACUAGAGAGACCUGAAAUUCUACAAUGUCAACCAAUUAAUUUAGGUACAGGGGAGGCUCUCCAAAUCAUUCAGAUUUAUGACAGUAUAAAAGGUAAGGAGAAAGAAAUUUCCGUGGAUUACUUUUUAAUGCAUAAAACUGCUUUCGCAUGGUCAUAUGCAAAUUUGAAAGGAAUUCCAGCUGAAGUUUGUGAGCAUCGAAUUAUAUUGGAAGAGAACGCUACACCAAUACGCCAAAGAUACCAUUGACUUAAUACAAAAUACUCACUUAUGAUAAAAGAAGAACUAGAUAAACUCUUGGAGGUUGGAUUUAUCUAUCCGGUUCCUUUCAGUGAAUGGAUUUCAUCAAUUGUUAUGGUACCGAAAAAGAAUGGAAAAGUUUGCAUCUGUCAAGAUUUUUAAAAAUUAAAUGCGGCUACGAAGAAGGAUUAUUUUCUUUUACCAUUCACGGAUAGUAUAUUAAAUGCUAUCACUAGACAUGAAUGUUAUUCAUUUCUUGAUGGAUUCUUCGGUUAUAAUCAAGUUAAGAUUGUAAAAGAAGACCAGUUAAAAAUUAUUUUUACUACGGAUUGGGGGACCUUUGUCCAUAAGGUUAUGCUGUUUGGGCUUUGUAAUGCACCAGCUACAUUUCAAAGGGUAAUAAUAUAAGCAUUUCAAGAUUAUCUACGAAUUUCAAUGGAAAUAUUUCUAGAUGAUUUCUGUACAUUUAGUACAAGAGCCAACCACUUAGAAUGUCUAGAUCAAUGUUUGAAUCAAUGUGCCAAAUAUGAAAUUUCUUUAAAUUCAAAAAAAUACCAAUUUGGUGUGCCUUUUGGUAAAUUUUUGGGUUAUAUAGUUUUCAUGACAAGCAUUGCUACAGAUCCGGAUAAAAAAAAGAUUAUAGUAGAAUUAAAGCAACUAAACACUGUUAUGGAUGUUCGAGCAUUUGUCAGCCAUGUCAAUUAUUAUCGAUGAUUUAUCUAUCUAUUUAUAGUUAUAUGCCUUCUCUUAACAAAUCUCUUGAAGAAACUAUCAACUGAUGGAACCAAUCUAUUUUGGACAAAGGAAUGUACAAUUGCAUUCGAAAUAUUGAAACAAAAAUUGGUUUCAAUAUCAAUAUUGGUGGCACCUUAUUAGACAAAAUCAUUCCAAGUUUAUGUGGAUGCAUUUAAUGUCGCGAUUGAUUCUGUGCUAAGCCAGAAAGAUGACCGAGGUUUUGAUCACCCUAUUUAUUAUGCUUAUCAUCAAUUGAUAGCAGCUGAAAGAAAUUAUACAACAACCAAAAGAGAAGCAUUGGGAAUGAUUUAUUCCUUACAAAAGUUUCGAUAUUAUCUUCUUGGUUAUAAAUUUGUUUUCCAUGUCGACCAUGAUGCUUUAAAAUAUAUGAUUAAUAAGCCUGAAUUGAGUGGUCGUAUUGCAUGAUGGCUUCUACUCUUGUAGGAAUUUGACUUUAUUAUUCAGGUAAGACUAAAAAAAUCACAUUCCAAUGUGGACCAUUUAUCUCGGUCAUCCAAUAUAUUGGAUAAUGAACCCAUUAACGAUGUACUACCUGAUGCGGGACUGUUUACAGUAGAUGUAAUUACUCCAGAGUAUAGUGAAAUAAUUCAAUACUUGACAUUUCAAAUCUUUCCACCUAAUUUUAAUGAAAAGCUUAAAUGAUGCUUAAUAUUAAAAUGUACACCUUAUACGAUGAUUGGUGAAGCUUUAUAUAAACAAGGCAAGGAUGGAGUUUUGCUAUGCUGUAUUUAUCAGAUUGAAGUGCGUACUAUAUUAGAAGGUUGCCACUUCGACAGUUGUGGUGGAUAUUUUGCGAUGUCGUGUUGUAACACGACUAUAUGGUGAAAAUACAAAGGAAGAAGAUUUUAUUAUUAUUUAGUCAUCUUAAAUGUUAGUAGUAGCGACCAAUUCCAGUGCCAAUAUUCAGGGGCCAGUUAUUGUCACCUCAUCGUAGUUAGUCGAGGCAUACUUACCAGUAAUGAAAUGCUUCGUUUAAUUCCAAUAACAAGAGUCAGCAGAAAGAAAAAGGACUAAUUCAACGUUGAGUGAGCUUGAUGUGAAGGGCCAAUCUAAUCCAAUUACGGAGACGUGUAAUCUACGUCCUGUUACGGCCUCUUAUCCAUUAUGAGACCUGACUCGAUUGGCAACCCAAUGAGGUCCCAAUGCAAAGGCUUCGGCUCCAUUGUAAGCUGUUCCGUCGGCUGGACCAAUUCAGGAAGUCCAAGGCAGGAGGAUAUUGGACCACAUGGGGGGAUAAGCUGUUCUUUUGGCUGGACUAAUUCGGGAGGUCCAAGGCGGGAGGAUUGGACCACAUAGGAGAAAAAACUCUAUCAGCUGGACCAAUUCGGGAAGACCGAGGACAAAAUCGUGCUCGGACGGUAACUCAAGGGUCUUUUUAAGAGAUCGGAGAAGGAAUUGGAGAGACUGACUUAUGGAGGGAUAUUGGAGGAAGAGAGGAUUUUGUGUCGUUUGGGAUCAUUAUUGGAUUUUGGGGGGUUUUUAAAGCCAGUGAUGUUCUCUGUUAUUUUAGAUCUUUGAGAAAUAAAACCGAUUUAUAAAUUUUUGGAUUUCGUAAUAUUUAUAGCAUUUUUAUAGAUAAAAAUUUAGAAACUUAUUGGUAUGCUUGUUGUGAAUGUGUGCAAGAGGUUUGAGGUCAAUUGAAUGGCUAGAUCGAUACAUACGAAGGUUUUGUGAGCUAAGGUCUCGAGAUUUAGGAUUUUGAGGACCAGUAAGUUUUUCUUAGAUAUCUAGCAAUCUGCUAGUCGGAUAGAGGAGAUUUUUAGUUUUAUCAAUAGAAGACUUGAUUUCCUAUUUGCAAGUAAAAUUUGGAAGCAAUCGAAUGGUGGAAAAAGGAGAUAUCAGCAUUAGAAGUUUGGCAUUAGAUUGAAGAAGGAGAGGCCGACCGACAUCUGAGCGGAAUUUUGUCAUCAACUAAUUGGACCCUUUGUUGUAAUUUUCUUUUACCUUCUAUAGCCAGGUGCCCAGUGCAUUCUCAAGUAAGACUUCAUGUAAUAUGACAUUAGUGGUGAACCGGAUGUGAAAGCUUGAGGUAGGAGGUAUUAGAAUUUGUUUAUAUUCAUUCUUAUUUUUAUGGAGAACGAGAUUAAAAAUUUUGAGGGAGUUUUUGGUGGAGUUUCUUCUAAAGGACAAGGUGUAUGCAUGGAUCCAUCCAUAGCUAGUAUGUUUCAAGCCUUAUCACUAUCUAUGCAAUAACAGUAAAGCAAUGAUCGCAAAGAAGCUUUACCAACCAAAGCAUUGUAAGCAGUGGUCAAUAAAAUUGAUCAAUUUGAUGGAAGGGAUAUUUCAAGGUAUUUAAGAUGUUAUGUUCAAGAAAUGGAAUUAAAUCAGGUUUCUGAGAAGAAGGUGGUUGAAUUUUUUGGACUUGCCAUGAUACCAGAGAUAAGAGAACAUAUUACAUCGAUUAUGGAUCAUUAUGGAAAUUCAUGGGAGAUUUUUUUGUGUGCAUUAAAAGAUGAAUAUUUCUUUGAGGACACUGAUCGUGUUACUAAGAAACUAUUUUUAGAAUAGAUUGAGCAGCCUAAUAAAAAUUUGUAAGCAACCGAGCUACUAAGGGAGUUUGAGAGGCAGUACUCUCAAUUGUCGGAGGUAGAAAAAUUGACAUUAGAGCCAAACAAGGUUGAAUUAUUUUUCCAGGCUGCUGAUAGAGAAUUACAAGGAAAAUUGGAGUUGCUUCUUGAAGACAUAGAAGAAGAUGAAGGAUUGACAACAAAGUGGAAAAAUGUUGAAAGUGCGGUAGGUUUGCUUGUAAAAAGAGAAAGGAGGAAGGAUAGGAGUAAUAUUCCAAAAGCAGUACAAGCACCUAAAAUUCCAAUACAUACAACACGACGAACAAUGCCUGCUAUUCAACCUUCAACAUCUUUACCAAAAAAAGCAAAUAUGGAGAUCGAAGAAAUUAUACGAGGAAUGCGAGAUCUUCAAAUCAAAUUGGUAAGUCUUGAAGAAAAUACUUCUACAAAUAAUUUGAAGAAUGUUUCAAAACAAGGGUAUGUACAAAGAUGUAUUUGGUGUGAUGAUGCUUCGCAUACUAAGAAGGAUUGCGACGAAUUUAAUAACAUGAUAUGGCAAGAAGUUAUUUGCUUAAAAGAUGGAAAGAUAGCAUUAAAGGAUAUGGAGGUCCUCCUUAAAACCAAUUUUGGCAAGGAAGGUAUGAGAGCAUUGAUUCAAGAUUACUUAAAAGCGCAUGAAACAGCAGCACAUUGUCGUAAUAUGUGAAGUCUUGCUUGAGAAUGCUCCGAGCACCUGGCUGUGGAAGGAAGAAUAGAAAUUGUAAUAAUAAAAUCCUAAUUCUAAUAGAAUACUAACAAUACUCUAAUUAGAUCAUAAUAAUGCUAAACAAGCUUAAUCGAAUUCAAAAAAACCUCAAAGAAAUUUCAAACAAAUAAUAAGAAUUGUUAAAAAAAUAUUAGAAGGAUCACAAAUAUCACUCAAAUAUAUCUCAAUUCAAUCUUAAUUUAAUUCUAGUUAAAAUCCUAUUGAACUUCAUUAAAACUUUGGGCCAAAACUAAUUGAAUCUUAAAUCCUAAUAAAAUCCUAAAUCCUAAAUCAAACCCUAAACAAACCUUAAACCAAACCCCAACCAAAUCCUAAACCAAAUCCUAACCAAAUCCUAAACCAAAUCCUAACUAAAUCCUAAACCAAACCCUAAUCCAAAUCCUAAACCCUAAACCAAACUCUAACCAAACACUAAAUCCUAAAUAAAUCCUAAUCAAAUCCUAAUUCAAAUCCUAAAUCCUAAACCAAAUCCUAAUCCAAAUCCUAAAUACUAAACCCUAAAUCAAACCCUAAUCCAAACCCUAAUCAAAUCUUAAACCAAAUCCUAAACCAAAUCCUAACCAAACCCUAACCAAACCCUAAACCAAAC